GAGGUGGAAGAGGACUCAAAGAAGCCGUUUCCUAAGCACAAGCCUCCCAAGAAAGGUGUGGAGCCGAAGAAGGGCAAGGGAGAAAAGCCACCACCAAAGCACAAGCCACCACAUGAGGGACACAUUCUAGUAGAGAAGGUGGAAGAGGACUCAAAGAAGCCUUUCCCCGAACACAAGCCGCCGAAGAAAGGCGAGGAGCCGAAGAAGGGCAAGGGUGAGAAGCCGCCACACCACAAGCCACCACACAAGCCUCCCGAGAACUAAUUAUGCGUUCUUCAAUGAAUGUAUAUGUCGUGUGCUUUUCACGGGUUCAAAUAAGAGCUGGUCCAUAGAGUGUCUGGCACUACCGUGUUAGCUGGUUCGCUGUUUGUGCUCCAUGGGGAUAUAAAAUGUAUGUACUUUGCUUGGGCAUGUCCUUUGACUUUGCCUACGUUGAUAUAUGCUGAGUACUUGCUAGCCAUGAGCUUUCCUUUCUAAUUAUGCCUUUAAUUAGUAACUUACGAAUUAUGGACAUUGUCCCCUUGCAAUCUUAAGUAAAAAUAAAUAUGGGGUUUAUCCAUAAUUUUAAAUCAGAAAAUUGGUUGACCAAAGCUUCUUCUAAUCAAAGUUGGAGGAAGACAUGGCCCGUCUUUGUAGGUUUUUAAUAUGAUCCAGUUAUUCUAAUGCCUAUUAAUUACAACUUUCCACACCAUCCAACGUAUUAAUUUUGUAGAUUACCCUUGAUAUCAUGACACAAUAGUGGAGGUAUUUAUUGAGAUGAUUUACACACAUAGGUUGAAUCAUAAUGAUUUUCACCCCCUCGAAAACUCAAAUCAUAGAUUGAAACAGUGAUGCAUGGAACCAUUUAAGUUUGCCCCAGUGGCCACCUUUCCAACAUGGAAGGGGGAGGUGGAAUGUUCGAAUUCCCACCUUCUCAAGGGGUUGGGGUGGGGAUGAUUUAUUUUCAGGUAUAGGUUUCAACUCCCAUGCUCUGUAAGGAGGCAGGGCAAAAGUCUCAAAGUGAGAGUUAGUAGGAAUAGAGUAGGACCGACAAAAAAAAAGAAGAAAAAAAAAAAAGAGUGAUGCAUGGAAGCAUGCAUGCAUUUAUUGAUUUUGCAUAUUGCUAUAUGAACUUGUUAUCCCUCUCUUUGCACUUCACUACCUUAUUAUUUUCUUGAUCCUUCACGGGGAAUUUACAAGGGCAAAAUUACCAAACAACUCCAAAACCUAUUGUGCUUGUAUAAAUUGAUUCCUAAAUAUUUUAAUCAUGUCAAUUUAGUCCUAAAUAUUUUCAUGAUUUGCCAAUUUAUUCAUAAACUCUUUGUCAAUUUAGUCAUUUUAGCUAAUUUUGGCCCAAAAAACACUGACGCGGGUCUAGUCAGCAUCAAUCAUUCUAUUACUACUACUACUACUAUUGGCUUGUUUUUGUGGCCCUUGCCUAUGGCCAACAAUGGUUAGCUAGUGACCUCCAUGCCCUUGCUAGCUAAGAGUUGGAAAAAAAGGUAAAGAAAAACGAAUACAAAAUUCAGAAAAAAUUAUCCACAUCAGCUUUUUUUCAGCAACAAUUAGUUGAAAUAACUAAAUUGACAAUUCGUCCAAAGGUUUAAGACUAAAUUGAUAUAAUUAAAAUAUUUAGGCUGAUUGGCAAAUUGUCAAAAAAUUUAUAACUAAAUUGGCCAAGUUUAAAACUUAGGACCGAAUUAGCACAAGUAUGAUGGAUUCAGAUUUUUUUUUUUUUUUUGAUAUUUUCCAAUUUACAAGUUAACAUAGAAUACUCUCAUUUUAUCGUGAACUUGUUUAAUCCGAUCAUGAUAUAGUUGAGGAACUUCAUGAAUAACAGGUUUCUCACUAUACUUAAUUGCAUAGGAUACUAAAAAAUAAUCAUGUUAGAAAGACCUGGACGUGUGGUUAGUAUUGGAUGUGGUGUCGGCGAAUAUAUUAUCUUCAUAAAACUGAUAUGCCUAACCGACCUAAGUUUCAUAUAUGGAAACAAUGAUUAUAUGUCAAGAAAGCGAUGGUAUGGGAGACUCCAGAAACACGAUAAGAAGAUGCGUCCUAAUCAUGCCAAACACGAUUGCUAGAAUGACGAAGCCCAUCACAUGCUCCAGUUUCACUGUUCAAAUUGUUGCACGAUGAAGGGAACAGCAUGUGAGCAUUUGAGAUCCUGAUCAGUUGAGUCCCGGUAGAGAGAGGGAUUUUGCGGCGUCUUUUCUUGGUUUCCCAUUUCAGAUGGGGACCCUUUGAUUUCAUACGUUUAACUAAAACGUGGAGGCAUUAGAGACGAUGAAAAAAGGGCCCUCCACUCAUUAUAAUCUUGUCUAUUAUUUUCCUUAUAUUUUGCACAUUUUUCCUUAUCUCCGCAAGCAACAUUUUGCACGAAAACUAGGGGGGAUGAACAUUGAAACAUUGUUAGGUGAGCUCAUGAUAUGGGAUGGAUAGGUGGAUUUUUAUUAGAUGCAUUGGAUGCUCGAGCCCUUCGGUUUAUGUAAUCUCCAUUCACGCAUGCUGGGUGUUUUCGUCCACCUAAAUCGUGAUAUGUGUUUGGAGGCACUGUAAAAAUUUUGUCAACCAUCACCUAAGUUCUUUUUUUUUUCUUUUUUUUAAUCAAAAUCACAUAAGUUUAAGUUGUUAAAUGAAUGCGCAAUCUAUUAAAUAAAUAAUGUUAUACUCCCUCUUGCGCAUAAACUAGACUUUGAUAUAAGAUUUAGAAAGUGAGCACCAUUUUCAUAUAAAAAUACUUUAAAUCUCCAUCUCAUGCAUAAACAGGUUCAGUUCUUGAUUCCAAUCUUCUAUAAUCAAUGUUCAUGGGUUGGUUUCUAAUUUGAUAUAUGAAACCAAUCACUCAUACUAACAUUAAAGCUUGGGAUCAAGAAUUGAGUCAACUUGGUUUCGAUUGUCCCCACUAAAACCGAAGCACAUAAGUUGAAAAUAUAUAUAUUAAGAAAAAUUUUCGUGGGAUCACUAAUAAGUAUUUAAAAAGCUUAAAUCUGUUAUUUAAUAUCUCAAGCAUGGUAUUCACACUAAAUCUCACUAAACAACCUUAUAAGUCUCCGACACCCUUUUGGUGUGUGCGCGCACGGCAUCUUCCUUUCCCUUCUCCCAAGGACAACCUGCAAUUACUUAAAUUCAAACAUGAUGUCACCGCGCAUGUCAACCACGACAGCGACUUCACCGGAUCGUGCGCCGGAAUGAAUAAAGACCCGAAAGAGAGACAGAGAGAGAAACGGGGUGGAUCCCCUCGGAAGGCUACAGGGUUUACGAUCGUUGAUUGUUAAAGGUCGAAAAGGUGGACAUUUCGCCCCGUUGGGAUUAGUUACGAUAAAAUCUUCUUUUGAGUCGAACAGCGCCGACAUCGGUGCUGCGUAUUUUACCUGGAUUUCAGUCUUGAUUCUGCUGAGAAAGACGUAGACUAGACCCAGGUUCUUGACACCUCAUUCUCCCUCAUCCUUCCGUUUUUCUGUGGUUUCCGUCAUCAUGUCAAACUUCUUCAUCCUUGCACUACGACUAGCCUAAGCAAAUAUCUGUAUAUUCUCGUUAUCAGUCUUUUCGUGUUACUUGAAUUCAAUAUUUUAAAAAUUAAGCCGCGGCAUCUCUAUCGUGUUCGGAAAGUAACUUUGAAUUUCUCAUAUAAAAUCAACAUGUGAAGUGAUAAUUUUAGUUGAGCCAUGGUAUCAGUGAGAGUUGAUUGGUUGACUAAAUCGGAUGAAAACAUCAAGGUUUCGCUCUUUAAUAGAGUGCCCAUUGAGUUGCUUAGUAUAUUCUUUUUUAUCUUUAUUUUUUGUCAUUUAGUUUAGGAGUCCUACCCAACUUUAAAAUAUAUAUAUAUAUAUAUAUAUAUAUAUAUAUAUAUAUAUAUAUAUAUAUAAGAAAGAGGACUCAAAGUUUCACAAUGUAAAUCAUUUUUAAUAAUUAUACGGUUCAUUGAAACUUUUGGCUCUAAAUACUUUGCACGGAUAGGCGCAGAUUGCCCUGUCUAGACAUUUACGUCUAUCAAAAAAAGCUUACGUGCCGUCUAAUUUAUUGUAGAGGAUAAUUCAUAUAAUUAUACCACGACAUACAUGAAAAUAAUACAUAUCUUACUUGACAGCUCUUAGAAAAAACAUAAAUGAAUCAGUUUGAAACGAAUCUAAUGCUUCAUUGAAUAACUAUACAAAAGUAUUUCGAGCAUGGUAUGUCGGUAAUAUCCUCUAAAUCAUUUGACACAUUGCUAGUUUUUUAUCAUCUAGAAUAGGGUUUAAAAGUACCAAGUCAUCUCAUGUUACGAACUCAUGUCUCAAUUAUAACUAGAGCACGAGCUUUUCCAUCAGCAAUUUAUGUCAUGCUUAUAAAGCGUUGGUUUACUAUAAGAAAUCAAUAGCACGUCGUUUGUCUUUCAUUACGUAUCAAAUUAUCCUCUUACGAACCCUCUUUCUUGCUGAGUUUUCUGCUACUAUAGCUAGAAUCACCCUUUCACCACAAAAGAUACAGAGACGAUCUUGCAGGCCGACGUGGUCCUGCAACGAUAAUGCCAUCGCAACCUAUGGGAGCCACACAAAAGGUGGUCGGCAUUGUUUCUCUCUGCCCCAUUCGCCACACGUGCGUGAAACUGCACCCGAUUCUUAUUCGCCCGGUUAUGGCACAAUCUAGCUUGUCUCUGCCAAUCGAAGGGCACCGUCCUAACUGACAUCGGCAGUGACGUCAAAAUUAGAAAAUAAUUAGUAAUACCAUAAUAAUAUAUUCAUUGAAUAUAUGUUUUUGAAUCUAAAACCUCCAUGCAAUUAAUGGUUGCACUUGUUUGAUCAGGAGGCUGCAGGAUUUGCGAUCGUUGAUUGCGAUUUUGGUGGCAAAAGCAAGUGUGAAUCGUCGAAAAGGUGGACAUUUCGCCUCGUGGGGGUUAGUUACGACAAAAUCCUCUUUUGACUCGAACAGCGCCGACAUCGGUUGCGAGGGGCGAUCGUUGUGCGUAUUUGACCAGGAUCUCAGUCUCGAUUCAGCUUUGAAAGACGUAGCAGACUCGACCAAGGUUCUUGACGUCUCAUCCCUCAUUCUUCCUUUUUCUGAGGUUUACGGGAUUUAUGUCCAAACUUCUUAAUCCUUCCACGGCAACUUAUCCUAAGGAAAUUUAUCUGUUGUCGUUAUCUAGUCAUUUCGUGUUUCUUGUAAUCAAUAUUUAUAAAAUUAAAUCAUGUCAUAUCAGUCAUAUUUGAAAAGUAUUUUGAAAGACUUAUUAAAAAUCAAGAGUGAUUGGUUUCAUAGUGACUCGAUUCUCACCCAAAAACUGUGAAAUGACCCACUUGAUCUUGAAAUUGAACUAAACCGGAACUAUUUCUUGGAUGGACCCGAGAAUUGACGAGGAUAUCUUUCUUUUCUUUUUUCCCUAUGUAGGAUCAUUCGUUUGCUCACUCAUUAGUCAGCAUAAUUUCAUACUUUGUAACACCCCCAUAAAUAGUAACAGACCUCCGCCCAAAUCUCUCAUCCCUUACUUCUUCACUGUUGCUAUUUAGGAUUCCCAAUCUCCAUUGGAAUAAUCGUUCUUAGAAAAUUAAAGGAAAAGGUAUGUAACAAAACAAACACCGAAUUUUUGGGGGGAAAGGGGCGCCUCUUGCCUCUCUUUCAACCCCCGGCACCGUCUCCUGGUACGUCUCCUCUCCUUGUUCGCAUGGCUAUCUAUGGUUAGGGUUCUGCCCGCCUGCUUGCUGCUGUGAUUCAUAGUUGAGAUGGAAUCGGAGUCGAUGAGGGCUCGAAAUGAGGAGAAAGGGACAAGUUCCCAUGGUGGACCUCCCAUUCUGACUAAGGAACCUUCGUUGUUGACUGUUAUGGGAGGAAAUUCGAGUUCGGACACCAUGUCUGGUCCGAACGAAGCGCGAGUUCCUCGCCCAAAUGGUGGGGCACGACUUGUCCAGCGAGGAAGGUCCCGCUCAGCUAAGCCUCAAGGCAGGGAUGCCUCUAAGAAUCCAUCAGGGAAAUCGUGGGUUGCGGUGGCAAGAACCGUGCCCAAGGGCUACGAUCUGGUGUAUACCCCACCGAAUAUGGUGAACAAUAGACCUGUGAUUGAGAUCACUGAUCAAGAUCUGGAAACUGCAGAUCCCAAGAUGUUUGAAUGUUUAAUGGGCCAAUUCAUUGGUUGCCGAAUGCCUUUUAAGGUAGUUGAGGAGGCUAUGAAGAAAGUGUGGGGGCCGAACCUUGUUGAAGUCCUGUCAAAUGGCAAAGGUCUUUUUAUGUUUCGCAUUCCUGAUAGGGAAUUCCGCCGAAGUGUGCUUGAAAGUGGUCGGAUGACGGUUGCUAGAAUACCACUUGUAUUGCAGCAAUGGUCCCCUGGACUUGAGCUGAGGAGGGAGAUCCACCGUACGGUUCCUGUUUGGGUUAGACUAUCGAAUAUUCCCUUCUCGUGUUGGUCCGCCCACUUCAUCGGGAGGGUUGCAAGUGCGCUUGGCAAACCCCUUUAUGUGGAUAAGAGAACAGAACAGGUGAGUAGCCUUACCUUUGCUAGGGUCUGCAUUGAAAUUUCUGCUGAUCAACCUGAUUGUAAAAUGAUUAAGACAACCCAUAAUGGUACGAAGUGUGAAAUAGGAGUGGAGUUUGAGUGGCGACCCACUGCCUGUGCUGUAUGUGGCAUUUUUGGCCACAAUUGUGCAAUGGCUAGUAGGCCUGGUAGACCUGAAACAAAACACGCUGAUACUGGUCGUCCUUCAGAGGAGUCUGAACCUCUUAGCAAGGCCGCAAGUGGGAGCAGCUCUCAGCAAACCAGACCACCUUCGAUGGCGUCUGAGGAUCAAAGGGGAAUGUCUUCGGGUAUGCCUGUGGUCCCUCUUCUGGAAUCUCCAAUUGAUGCAGGACAGAACAGAAGCUCCUCUGGUGGUUCCUUCCCUCAUGUUCAGCUGGUUGUGGAUCUGGAGGAACCUCUUCCAUCGCACCAAAGUGACCUUGCUCAGCAUGGGAAUCAGGUCAAAGACAAAGAGAAGGAGCAGGAGCCGCAGAAUCUGAAUGCUUCGCUGAUACCAUUCUCGGAGGAAGGGCUGUCUCGCAACCUUAAGGAAGCUGUGCCUGGCCAAAAGCCUCCUAAAGCCCCUGCUAAACCACUUGGAAAAAACACUCAGGCUUCUGACUUGGCCCCGGAUUCCGUGCCGUUUGGAGACCAGAAAGAUGAUACCAGCAAUUCAUCUAAUGAAGACGGUGGCCACACGCCUAGACCCGCUCCUUUGAGUGGUCCUUCGGAACCUACUGGGGUUGGUUCGAGCCAAGAUCAGCUUCUCCUUUUGCUGCUCGACCCGCUGGGACCUUCGCCUGCGGAGGACUCGAAACCAAAUAAAGGUAGGCGUAGGAACGCCAAGCGGAAAUAAUUCUAUCCUUUUGCUUCUAUGUUUUUUGGCUUUUGGAAUGUUAGAGGUAUUAUGAACCCUGUCAGAAGGGCGGAGAUUAGGAAGUUUGCUGUUGCUAAUAAGCUUUGCCUUAUGGGGCUUUUUGAAACUAAGGUCCCUGAGCCUUUGUUUGGUUCCAUUUCUUCCAAUAUUUUGAGAGGCUGGAAUUGGAUUGCGAACUAUGAUUUUGCUCCUCGCGGUAGAGUCUGGAUUGGAUGGGAUCUAGCUACCAUCAGUUUUGAGUUGAUCUCUGCAAAUGACCAAGCCAUCCAUGGGUGCAUGAAGGGGUUAUCUUCUAAUUUUACUUGCUGUGUUUCUGCUAUUUAUGGAGAGCAUUCCUUUGUGAGGAGGCGGCCUCUUUGGUCUGAUCUUAUCCAGUGUGACGAUCUUUUUCAAGACUAUGCCUGGAUAGUAGCGGGAGAUUUCAAUGCAAUCAAGGACCCUUCUGAUCGCGUUGGUAGCUCUAAUGCCUGGAUCCCCUGUUUUGAUGAAUUCAAGCUUUGUCUGGACCAAACGGAACUUGAGGAUCUCAGGUACUCUGGCCUUCGUUUUACCUGGUCGACUUCGGUGGGUGCAAAUAGGAAGAUGCGAAAAAUUGACAGAGUUCUUGUCAACUCUAAAUGGAGAAUGGACUUUUCAUACUCGGAGGCGUCUUUUCUCAAUCCUGGAAUUUCUGACCAUACUCCUAUGGUUGUCAGGGUUGUGGAUCCGCGUCCAAGGAGGAAGCCGUUUAAGUAUUUUGAUUUCUGGGUUGACCACCCGGAUUUCCAUUCUACGGUUUUGCAGGUGUGGGAUAGUCAAGUUUGGGGAUUUCCCAUGUUUAAAUUAGUCUCGAAGCUGAAACUGUUGAAAUCUCGCCUCAAGGAACUUAAUCUGAAGGCUUUCUCGGAUAUUUCUCUAAGAACUCUUGAAGCGAGGGAAGCCUUGCGUUCUACUCAGCAUCUCCUUCAGUUGGAUCCUGAAAAUAUUCCACUAGCUGAACUUGAAAGAGGGCAGCGUCGUGCUUUUAUAGACCUUCGUGGUCAAGAGGAAUCGUUCUAUAAGCAAAAAUCAAGAAUUAGAUGGCUGAAGGAAGGAGAUCGCAACACGAGAUUCUUCCAUAACUGUGUUAAAGCUAGACAUCUCAAUAACCGUAUCCUCUCUGUCAAAGACACUGCAGGUACGGUGAUCUCGGAUCCUGAUUUGGUGCCCCAAGUUUUUAUAUCUUUCUUUUCGGAUCUUCUUGCUCCUCGAGUUGGCUUAGCUAAGCCUGAUCUUCAAGAGCUUACUUCUCUCAUUCGAAAGCCGCUAUCCGAUAGCCAGGUAUGUUCCCUAGCUUCGCUCGUCUCUGAUUUGGAAGUUAAGAAGACCUUGUUCUCGCUUGCAAAGGGGAAAGCCCCCGGUCCAGAUGGUUUUACAGCAGAAUUCUUUAAAAGUAACUGGGAUAUUGUGGGCUCUUUAGUUACAGAGGCUGUGAAAGAUUUCUUCUCAGUAGGUUGUCUUCUUAAAGAAGUUAAUGCGACUAUCCUAACGUUAAUUCCCAAGGUGUCGAAUGCUUGUGAAGUAAACGAUUCCAGACCGAUUGCUUGCUGCAACACUAUCUAUAAACUUAUCACCAAGAUCUUGGCCAAUAGAAUUGCGCCUGUACUUCAAGAUAUUGUUAGUCCGUCCCAGAAUGCGUUUGUGAAGGGUAGAAGGUUAAGGGAUAAUAUAUUAUUGGCUCAAGAGCUUUUUGCAGGCUUCCACUUAGACCCAUACCUCCCAAGAUGUGCAGUCAAAGUGGAUUUUUGCAAGGCCUAUGACACUGUGGACUGGGAUUUCCUAGAGCUUACCCUUACUGCCUUCCGGUUUCCUCUGUGGAUUAUUCGCCGGAUUAUGGUUUGUGUACGCACACCUAGAUUCUCUAUUUCUAUUAAUGGGGAGCUUCAUGGCUUCUUCCCAGGAGGCAGAGGCCUUAGGCAGGGCGACCCAAUGUCACCUUAUCUAUUUACAUUGAUCAUGGAAAUCUUCUCCGGAAUUUUGAACCAAAGGUCUUCGGCUAAAGAAUUCAAAUGUUAUUGGCGAUGUAAGUCUCCUAAGCUCACUCAUCUGUUUUUUGCAGACGAUGUGUUCCUUUUUUGCCAAGCAGAUUGGAAAUCGGCUGUGAUCCUUAAAAGAAGCCUCGACAUUUUCUCUUCAUGGAGUGGUCUUCUCCCCAACAAAAAUAAGAGCGACAUCUUUCUUUCGGGAGGCGAUCCUGCUUUGUGCAACAGAAUCCUCCUAGCAUUUGGCUUUCAGGAAGGUAAACUUCCGAUUAGAUAUCUUGGAGUGCCGAUCAUCUCAAAGAGGUUGACUAAGGCUGACUGUACUCAAUUAAUUGAUCGCAUUACCGCGCGAGCCCGCUCCUGGUCCCACAGGUUCCUCUCUUUUGCUGGAAGACUUCAGCUCAUUAGGUCAGUGCUUCAUGCUAUUCAGUCUUUUUGGGCUAGUGUUUUCACUUUGCCCUCUUCGGUUAUUUUGGGGAUUGAAAGCAUUCUUCGUAGAUUUCUUUGGAAGGGCACCUCCUUGGAUAAGGGAGGUGCAAAAGUCUCAUGGGCGGAUGUUUGUUUGCCUAAGGAGGAAGGGGGCCUGGGUAUUCGGUCUAUCAAGGACUGUAACAAAGCCUCAAUACUGAAAUUUAUUUGGAUCCUCUUUACGGAUAAGGAAUCUCUGUGGUGCCGUUGGAUACACUCCAACUUUUUAAAGAAACAUAACUUAUGGGUUGCCCCUCAGCCUUCGAUCUGUGCCUGGAGCUGGAAGAAGAUCCUUCAUCUUCGGGGCUGUUGUAGACAAUCCUUCGGUUGGGAGGUCGGUGACGGCCGGUCUACUUCAUUGUGGUUCGAUAGCUGGUUGCCUUGUGGCCCUCUUCAUCUACAAGUUCCUCAUUCUUUUUUGUUGGACCCCGACGUUCCUGCUAAGGCGACUAUGGCUUCUUUAUAUUCUUAUGUUGGUAGAUCCUGUAAAGUCCGGUUAGAGAAUUGUGGCUUCUCGCUUCCUCCUCUUUCGGUUAAUAACAAUCGUUUUGUGUGGCGUCAUGUUUCUUCGGGGGCCUUCUCCGUAGCUUCUGCUUGGAAUGUCAUCAGAGCUUCUAAAGCCAAAGCACCUUGGACUUCUUUUGUGUGGGAUAAGGAUGUAGCCCCUCGGUUUCAAUUCCUUUUGUGGCUUAUUACUAAAAAUCGCUUGCCAACGCAGUCACUUCUCCUCUCAUAUGGAAGGAUUGAUUACUCGGCUUGCACUUUUUGUAAUACUCAGCUAGACUCGACCAACCAUUUGUACUUUGACUGCAAUCUUUCUAAGACCAUUAUCUACUUUUGGGCAACUAGGUGCAAUUUGCCGUGGAGGAACGGCACUUGGGCGGAAAACCUUGCUUGGGCUAUGAGAUUCCUUGCUGGUAAGGACUUCUCUCACAGUCUUUCUCGCUAUUCCUUUGGAGCUCUUUGCUAUCUAAUUUGGAAGAAGAGAAAUGCUAUGAUUUUCCGAGGGGAAUCUCUUGAUAUUCCCGCUUUGAAGAACCAUUUGAUAAAGAUGGUUAAAGAUAAAGCAAUUACCUAUAAGGAUGUCCCUGACAAUCCAAGGAAUCGGCGUCUUCAGAGGGGUUGGAAUCUCGACCCUAUUAUCUUCACAUAACCCUUUGGGUUUUUUAUCAUUUGAUCUUGCUCGGUCGCCCCCGGUGCGGAUGUUCUGACUCUCGGAUUCCCAGGCGUCCAUGGAGUCUGGUGGCUGAAUCUGGUGGUCGCGUUGUGUCUGUUGUUUGCGCUCUUUUGUCCUUGCCUCUUGAGGUUUUUGCGCGGCUCCCUUCCACUCUUUUGUUCACAAUGAGAGUGUAAGUUUUGGUGCCGUUUGUGUACAUUGGUCCUUAGUUUUUCAUUAUAUUCUUACCUUUACCAAAAAAAAAAAAAACAAAAAAAAAACAAACACCGAAUGAGAGAGGCACGUGACUGUGUGAGACUAAGAUUGAGAGUGAGAAGUGUGAGACUAAGUGAGUAAGAGGAACUGAGGGAGGUACCACAUGAGAUUGAGUGAGAGCAAAUAGGGAUGAGUAGUGAGUGAAAAUGAGAAAUUAGGGUUUUGAGAAUUGUUUUAUAAUAAAAAAAAAAUUAUAUAUAAAAAAACUUAUUCACCUAGUUAAGAUGGUCUGACAGAUCGGUCCACAUUAAAACCGGGAACUAAACCGAUAAUCACUAAUUCCAAAUCACCAAUUCCGUCUGGUUUCAUGCUCACCCCUAUUAAAAAUAACAUGUGAAGUAUUAAUUAUAGUCAAGCCAUGGUAUCGGUGACAGUUGAACAUUUGACUAAGUUGGAGGUAAACACCAAAGUUUGUGUCGUGUUUCGCUUUCCUUUUUAAAAGAGUGCCCAUUGAGUUGCUUGCAAUGCCCAUUGAGUUGCUUGCUAAAUUCUUUCUUUAUGUUUAACUUUUUAUUAUUUAGUUUAGACCCUUACGCAAACUUUAACAAAAGAUAAACAAGAACAUAGACUGUCAGAAAGAUCACUCAACAUUUUCUUUUUUCUUUUUUGGGUCGAAGAUGACUCAAAAUUUUACUAUGCGGAAUUUCUAUUGAUAAUACGGGUCCCUAGAGUUUUUGGCCUCGAAUACUCAUCACAAAUGUGCGCAGGUCAGUCUCGUCUGGACGUCCACUUCCAUCAUAGAAGGCAAACAUGCCCUCAACGUUACUUUUUAGAAUAAUCCAUAGAAUUGUUACCCGCCUAUGCAAUGACUACAACAAUACUACAUAUCUUUAUGCAUCAAAACCUUUAUUACUCGACCACUCAUAGAAGAACAUAAAGUUAAUCGGUUCGAAACAAACCUAAUACUUUGCUAAUCAAUUGUGCAAAAGUAGUUUGAGCAUGGUACAUUGCGGAUCCUGUCUAUAUCAUUUAACAAGUUUCUACUUUCCUUGUCAUCCCAAUUGGGUUGGGAAGUACUAGGUCGCCUUACUUUACAAAAUUCAACCCACAAUAAUAAGUAAAACACGAGCUUUCCAAUAAGCAAUUUAUGGUAUGUUAGUAUAGUCUUGAUUUAUUAUAUAGAAUCAAUAGUGUGUCUUGAUUAUUUGUGAGAUUAUCCUCUUACAAUUACACUUUCCUUAGUAGGACAGGCAAUGAGGUUUACGGUACUAUAGUUAUAAUAACUUUUUUCACUCUUAAAUUACAAGGUUUCAGCAAGAAAUGCGUUUUAGAAAAAACCGGCAAGAUCAUGAUUGUUCAAGCGACGGUCCCCUUCCGCUCCGACAAUGGAGCUCUCUCUCUACCGCCUGAGUAGCAUCCUCCUCCCUUUUUGGGUAGGUCUCGAUUCUGCAGCUUUGGAAUCCUCCCGCAUCGUAAUCCAUCUGUCAUCUUCUUCCACCCCAGCACCAAUGACACAGAGUAUAUUGGAGUUGGAAAACCCUAAACCCAUCCCUCGUUUCAUCGCACAUAAUAAACCCUAAAACCCAUCAUCUCACCAUCGCCUCUGUAGCAAGCUCUCUUCCCCAAUCUCUAUCAUUCCCACUCACCACAUCAUCCCCUUCUGUCUUCUCCCGCAGAAUCAGAGCUCCCUUGAUCCAUAUUUAGCUUUUGCCCUAUACAGAAAAACCAACUGAUUACUGAAGAAUCAGGCUAGCUCUCUAUCUCUGUUCCCGGUAAUGCUGUUGUUUUCAGAAGAUGGCAAACCAGUAUGACGAAGAGCGAAGGUUGGUUGCCCUCUGCAAAAGUCUGGGCAAUCUAUGGUCUGAGGAAGUCGUGGUGGAUAUCCCAGGUGAAAUCCCUGAAGAAAACCUGCUAGCAUGUUGGAAAACGUUAUAUGGGAAGUUUUUUAACAAGCCUAAUGUGAAUUUUAAUGCAUUCAUCACUACAAUGAAAAAAGUUUGGUGGAACAAAAGUUUUACCUAUGCUGUAAUAGAGCCUGGAUACUACUCAUUUUCCUUCAAAUCGGAGGCUGAAAAAUAGCGAAUAUUAGACUCAGAGCCGUGAUAUUUCUCAAGCAAUUUAUUGGUUCUAAAGCAAUGCGAUCCCGACACCCCUGAUAUCUGUUAUGAAUUUAACCAUUGUGACUUCUGGGUAAAUCUAUUUGGCCUCCCUUUUGGAAGAGUUACAUAUGAGGUAGUUACUGAAAUUACAUAAAAAAUCAGAGAUGUUGCGGAGGUGAAAUUAGAAGCGAAAGAGAAUAGCAAUUACAAGGUGGGUAGGGCCAGAAUUAAGUUGAAUUUGGAAAACCCUCUUAAAAUUGGAGUUCUUGUGAUCUUGACAACAAGAGUUUGUGGGUAGAAUUCAAGUACGAAAGGCUACCGCAUUAUUGCUAUUCAUGUGGGAGAAUUGGCCAUUAUGCGACAUUUUGCAAAGAAAUACUAUAUGAGGAAUCAGAGCUAGCUGAGAACUUACCAGGCUGCUUUGGACAUUGGCUAAGAGCGGAAGCGUGGGAGCUUAGUCCUUAUGGGAAAAUCUUUUAUGGUAAACAAUAAUUUCAACAUGAAAAAGAGGAGAGUGUGCCCGAAACCCCCAUUUCACCAGUCCCUAUAAUAGAACGGCAGCAACAUGAUCAAUAUCUGCAGCAACAUGAUCAAUAUCUGCAGCAAACUCAACAUCUCGCCCUAUUGGAUAAUGUAGAAAAUUCAUGUUCCAAAGAAUGCAACAAUCAUCUUCCUUCUCAAGCACUAGUUCUCUUGAAAGAGAAGGGCCCUCAAAAAAGAGGAAGCAGUUGCCUUGAUGAGGAAUCUGUCAUGGUACUAUAUGAGGAACAGAGGAAGGAGAUUGAAGCAUAAAUGGUUGACAAUUUUGCAGGGAAAGGACCAAACAAAGAGAAAACUAAAAGCGCCAAACGUUCUUCCUCAAAAAAAGGAAAACGAUUCUGUCCUUAUGGUGCUCAAACAUCCAACAUAGCAGUGGUUGAUACCACUCAGCUAGUGGAAACCCCUAUUCGUGUGGCAAACAAGUCUGACCAGUGGGCUUUGGUGGCUAGCCCUAAUAAGCCACCCACUCAUCCAUGAAGAUUUUAAGCUUGAAUUGUCAAGGGCUGGGCAAUCCCUUGACAAUUCAAGCUCUAAGAGUCCUAGUGACUCAAGAAAGGCCCAAUAUUGUCUUUAUUAUGGAGACAAAAAAUCAGGAGCAAAAGGUGCAAAGAUUACGGCGGCGACUUAAUUUCCAACACUAUUUCUUAGUGAAUCCAGAAGGUACAGCAGGGGGUUUAGUAAUCUUUUGGGAUGACCAGGUACUUCUGUUCAUUAACUCUUUCACAGAAAAUGUAAUUUUCACUCAAUGCCAACUACAAGCAAACAACCAGCGUAUGCACAUCACGUUUACACAUGCCCCAAAUGAAUUUAAGGAGAGAAUUAGAUUAUGGGAGAAUAUUUAUCGGGAAAGUCUACACUAUCAUUUCCCUUGGUUGUGUAUGGACGAUUUUAAUGAAAUCCUAUAUCAUUGGGAGAAAGUGGGAAAGAAAAGAGCAAAAACUUACCAGCUUACAGCAUUCAGAGAUUUCCUGUAUAAAUGUUCUCUACUGGAUUUGGAAUGUAAGGGAUGCGCCUUUACCUAGACCAACAACAGAGAGGGAGAAAAUCUGGUCAAGAAGCGAUUAGACAGAGUAUUAUGUAGUUCAGAAUGGCGCAUUAACUAUCCCACAACUGAAUGCAUUGCCUUACCUGCCAUUGGUUCCGAUCACACACCAAUUAUUCUUUUGACAAGCCCGCCGAGGAAAAAGGAAGGGGAAGAGCUUUAAAUACGAAGCUUUAUGGGCAGAGGAGGAGGAUUGUGUGACUCUCGUAAGGGAUACUUGGGCUGAACCGGCUUUCCAACAGUUUAGCAUGGUGGAGAAACUGCAGAUAGUGUCAAAAAAGUUGUUAAAAUGGAGCUAGAACAAAUUCACCAAUGCUAAAAAAAAAGGAUUACUUGGCUGAAUAGAGAGCUACAACACGUAAUGAACAGCAUAGGAAUAUCCAAUGAGAGCAAGGCAACAAAGGAAUUAAGAAAAGAAAUUGAUCAAUUGUGGAGACAAGAAGAAAUGUAUUGGGGAAUGCGGUCAAGAAUCAAUUGGUUAAAAUGGGGGGAUAAAAAUACCAAAUUCUUCCAUGCCACAACUAUCCAAAGGAGAAUCAGAAACCAUAUAUCAUUGUUGAAAAAUGCAGAAGAUGUUUGGGUGCGUGAGGAGCAGUAGCUAAAAGGAUGACCGGUACCUACUUUCAAAAGCUAUACGAGUCAGUGGGGCCUCGAAACUUUCAGCCCCUUUUACAACAAAUUCCAGUUUUGGUGGAUGUGAGAAUGAAUCAAUGACUAGUCGAAUCUGUUAGUAUGGAGGAAAUCAUGACAGCUAUGCAGCGAUUAGGAGCCAAUAAAGCGCCUGGACUAGAUGGCAUGCAUGACAUUUUUUUUUUUCAAAAAUUACUGGCCAGAUAUUUGUCAGGACAUAUUUACAGAAAUACAUAAUUUUUUCACCACCGGUUAUCUCAAUCCUAAUCUGAACAAAACACUUAUAACCCUUAUUCCUAAGACCCCAAACCCAGAAAAGCUGGAAUAGUUCCGCCCCAUCAGCCUUUGCAAUUUUAUAUAUAAAAUCAUCUCAAAAGUGUUGUCUAAUAGAUUAAAACCUCUACUACCUCAACUCAUUGCAAAAGAACAAAGUGCUUUUGUGGGGGGAAGGCAAAUACAAGACAAUAUAUUGAUUGUACAAGAGAUUCUUCACAGAUUACGAACUCGGGAAAGGAAAAAGAAGUUUCAAGUAGUCUUAAAGUUAGAUAUGCAGAAGGCGUAUGAUCGGAUUGAAUGGGAUUUCCUAAGAGCAUGUUUAACUAGAAUGGGAUUCUGCGAACAAUGGGUGCAAUGGCUAAUGCAGUGUGUUUCCACAAUUACAUUCAGUGUAAAUUUUAAUGGGGAGGUUCUUUCUUCUUUCAGGCCAACUAGAGGAAUUCACGAAGGUGAUCCACUAUCACCCUAUCUUUUUAUAUUAGUAGCUAAUGUUCUAUCAACCAUGAUGAGAAAAGCAGUGGAUGAUGGCACACUUAGAGGAAUUAAACUGAACAAUAGUUGCCCUACCCUUUCACACUUGUUAUUUGCAGAUGACUCUAUCUUUUUCCUCAAUGGCACUACCCUAGAAUGUCAAAAUCUAGCGAUGAUCCUACAUGAAUACUGCUUUGCUUCUGGUCAGGCCAUUAACCUUAAUAAAUCAGGUGUAUAUUUCAGCAAAUUUUGCCCUACUACAUUGAGGAGGAACAUGGCCACAGCAUUGCGAGUCCCAGAGAUAGAAAAAACAGGGAAAUACUUAGGAAUUCCCUCGGAUUGGGGCUUCUCGAAGAAAUAUAUGUUCGCGUGGAUCCUAGCGCGAGUAAAUAGAAAGAUAGAAAACUGGAAGGAAAGCUUGUUAUCAAAAGCGGGGAAUGAGAUUUUAAUAAAAUCAGUGGUUCAGGUUAUCCCUCAAUAUGCUAUGUCCAUUUUCAGAAUCCCAAUUUCUAUUUGCAAAGCUAUUGAGAAGAGGACCGCAAAUUUCUGGUGGAAAACGAACAGUAGACAUGCCGGUAUACAUUGGAAGAAAUGAGAAUCCUUGAAACUCAGAAAGGAUGAAAGGGGUAUUGGCUUUAGGCUGCGUUUGGGAACUACUUUCCCAAGGAUCUUUGGGGGGCUAAAGGCCUUUGGGCCAAGGAGAGAGUGUUUGGGAAGAUUUUUUUUACUUGCCUUUGGGAAAGGCAAGCCUUCCCAAGGCUGAAAGCUCAAGGCACCCUUAGGGCUGCCUUAGGCAUUCAGCCUUCUCGGAAGGCUGAUGGAGAGUAAGAAAAAUUUUUUUUCCAUAAAUGUCAUUGCUAACAUUUCAUUUUUCCGGUUUUGUCCUCGUAACUAUUCACCUUCUUCUUCAUUGACGUUGGCUGGCGAAGUUGCGCCGAGCUGUGAGGGGCCAGCAACAAGCUGGAUAGAGGCAGUAAGAGGCCGGUGUGUCACGGCGACCGUCAGUGGCCAAUCACGUGGCCUCGGUGCCCCCCUGUGAGUCGUGUCGCCGCGACCGCUGCAACCCUCGGCAACCACCCAGAUCUGGGUCACAGCAGACCACUGUAACCCUGGCGACGCUGCGACGCCCGACAGAUCUGGGUCACCGAAGGUCUCCGUGACCCAGAUUCGGGCCACGCAACCUCCGGUGACCCAAAUCGUGCGCAGAUCUAGGUCCCCGGAGGUCGCCACAACCCAGAUCUGGGCCGCGCGACCUCCAGCGACCCAAAUCGAGCGAUCUGGUCGCGAUGAUUUGGUCGCGAUCGGGGUUGCCGCAAUCAAAUCAAGUGGCCCGGGCAACCUCCGCACGGAGGUCGCAAUGCGGCGGGUUGUGCAACCUUCAGGCGAGGGUCGCCACGACCCACAUCUCACGAUUUGGGUCAUUGCGACCCUCACCGGACGGUUGCCGCGACCCGCCGCACCGCAACCUCCGUGCAGAGGUCGCCGGGAUCGCUCGAUCUGGUUGCGGCGACCCUCGUCGGCCACCUGCCUCUCGCUGGACCGCCUGCCCCUCCCAGACCCUCACCGGACUGCCUGCCCCUCACCGGCGGUAACCAGCCAAUUCUUUUUUUUUUUCCUUUUUUUUUAAUGACAAAAGUCUUUUACACAGUUAAUUUGUCCAAACACUAUUUUGCUCAAACAUACUUUACAAUGGACUUUUACAAAGACGAUUUACCAAACACAAUUUGCAUAUUCAAAAACCCUUUUAGCUCAAAGGCCUUUACAUUUUCUCAAGGACUUUCCCCAAAAGUCUUCCCAAACACACCCUUAAAGAUCUUAUAGCUUUCAAUAUAGCUAUGCUGGGGAAACAAGCGUGGCGAACUCACAGAGUCCUCAGUCCCUACUGAGUAAAGUAAUGAAGGGUUUGUAUUAUCCACAGGGUGAUUUCUGGAAAGCUGGAAAAGGCUCUCGUCCGUCAUAGUGUUGGCAAAGUAUAACUUGGGGAAGAGAUUUUAUCAUGCCACAUAUAAUGUACUCAGUUGGGAAUGGGAAAGACCUCUAAAUCCGAGAAGACAAAUGGCUAAAGAGUGGCCCUAUAGGCGGUCUAGCAACAAGAACAAACUAGUUCAAGUGGCAGAUUUAAUAGAACAAGGGACUGGAAAGUGGAAUACAGAGAAGGUGGAAAUGAUGUUUGAUGAAAGAAUUGUGAGGGAAAUACUCGCCACCCCUAUUGGUUUGCCCAAUUCGAAAGACAAACUGGUCUGGAUGAACACUAAAUCUAGUAUUUACUCAACUAAAAGUGGCUAUUUUUCAGCAAGAGAAGACCCAACUAAUAACCAUACCACAGCAGCAACCUCAUCACAUCAAAUAAAUCUAGAUCUCUGGAAAUACAUUUGGCAUUCUCAAACCCUACCCAAAAUCAGACUAUUUCUUUGGCAAGCAUGUCACAACGCACUACCAACAAGGGAUAACCUUCACAGGAGAAAGAUAGUACCUGAUCUUUUAUGUUCCAUUUACAAUAUGGAAGCUGAAACCACUGAACACAUCCUCUUACACUGUCCAUGGACAGCUCAAAUUUGGAGCGUCGCACCCGUGCACAUCAAAAUUUCCAGAUUUGGGUUAACACGGUUUGAUGACUGGCUUUUUCAACUGAAAAACAACCCGACACUCACUAAGUAUUUCGACCAAGUUAUUGCUCUUCUCUGGAGUAUCUGGAAGGACUAGAACCAGCAUAUCUUUGGCCACCGUCCCUUGUCACCAAAACACACUUUAUUCUCAGAUCUUCGACUAAUCUACCAAAAAGUGAAAAGAAGAAAGCUACUUCACCUUCUCAUUGACGACCUCCCCCUCACGGCACCCUAAAAAUUAAUGUAGACGCGUCCUUCUUUGAACUGAACGAAGCGGAAGCAGAGACUGAAGAAGACUUGUGAUCGGCAAAGAACAUAGUAGCGAUCGCGUGUCUCUGUAGAGAUCUCGAGGAUGUCUCGUUGAUGGCUUCGUGAAAAUCGUCGAUGCUUCCUCGGCUACACAAGCGGAAGCCCUAGCUCUCCUUCAAACCCUAGAUCUGCUCUCCAAUCGAACGGAACUUCAUCUGGAAGUACAAUCUGAUUGUCUUCCCCUCGUGCAAGCGGUAAUGUCUUCGAAGGAGUUAAACUGGCAAGUGAAGCCUCUACUGGACUAGGCCCAAAGCAAGUUGAAGGAGUUCCAGCACAUUUCCUUGGCCCAUUGCACCAGAAACGCCAACAGGUCUACAGAUUGGCUUGCCAAAGCAUGUCGCUUAAAUUAUCUUCCCUCUAAUUGGUUGUUUAAUCCCCCGCCUGCUCUACUAGACCUUUUAAGCACCAAUGCUUUUGAUGUAUUUCCUCAAAACUUUAUGAAGUAAAUCUAGUAAUUGCAUUUCAGAUCAAAAAAAAUUACAAGGUUUCAAUCCUAAUUUUAGAUUUCCAUCUAGGUAAUCUUUAGUUUGGAAAGGGUCUAUAAAAUCUCUAUGUUCAUCACAUAAGAUUAGAUAUCAAUUUGGAGGCCGAUGUGGUCCUAGAACGAUGAUGCCAUUGCAACCUAUGGGAGCCCCCUCAAGGGUGGUCGGCCCUGUCUAUCUGCCCCAUUCGCCACUCGUGCAUGGAUCGUCAAAGGCUCAGCAUCGACCUGUAUUGGUGCAUGCCUGUCGUAAUUUGCCACGUGGCGCAUGGAGCUACACUACGACGUCUCGCGAAGUCUACGUUAAUCAAGUAGCAAGAGUACCCGCCCAAUUCUUAUUUGAUUGAAUAUGACUCAAUCUGGCUUGUCUCUACCAAUCGAAGGUCAUUGUCCUGGCUGACAUGAACAAUGACGUCAAUAUUUAAAAAGAAAAUUUGUAAUACCAUAAUAAUAUAUUCAUUUAAUAUAAGUUUUUAAAUCUAAUGACUCAAUAUAAUUAAGGUAGAAGUACAACACAAGUCUCAAAACUUAGCAUAGGGGCUUAAGUGCCAAAAGUUCCAAAAAGUACAUUUAAGUACCAUUUUUUUAAAAAAAGAAAAACCAAAACAAUGUCGUUUUGCCUCUUAUUUAAUUAAAUUAAAUUAAAAAUUAAAUUAUUAAAAAAGAAAAAAGAAAAAAAAAGGGAAUUGCAUCAAGUAGCCCUCAUCGCUGCCGCCCCAUUAUCGCUGGAAUGGGCCGGUGACAAUGGGGGGAGAGUCUGCCGAGGUCGCCUAGCCCCCCACUACUGUCGGUCCUUCCUAGCGAUGGUGGGGCAGCAAGGGCGAGAGUUGCACAGCACUUGCGAAACAUGUUGCAAUCCCCCCCCCCCCUUUUUUUUUUCCUUUUUUGUCUUUUUUUUUUAAAAAUUAUUUUUAAAUUUAGUUUGAUUAAUAUUUAUAUUAAAUUCAAAUCUGAUGCAAAAUGACGUCGUUUUUUGCUUAUCUAACCACAUUAGCGUGCAAAACGUCAUUUUUGGCUUAUAUAGUCAGGUUAGCAUGCAAAAUGAUAUUGUUUUCUACUUGUUUUGCUAGAAAAACGCCACAUCAAUAUUUUUGCUAGAUUUUCUCGCCAUUGGCACUUAAUUGAUCAAUUUUGCUCCGAUUUUGAUACUUAAGUGUACAUUUUUGAAAUUUUGGCACUAGUGUCUUCCUGUGUUAAGUUUUGAUACUUCAGAUGUCCGCGCCUCUAUAAUUAAUGGUUGUGCUUGUUUGUGUUCUCAAACCCAUGUGAGUCUUGUCCACUUCGGCGUAGAAAACCUCAAAAAUUGUUCAUUUGAUAAUACUAGGGUGCACAUGUGUAGGUGUUGCGGUAACUGUUAGCCCAUGGGAUGCGCUUACUUGUAAAAUGAGAAUAUUAGUUAUAUAAUAAUCUUGUGUUCACUAUCACGUUUGACAAUUCCCUGUGCUCAGGUAUGCAAAGGUUGAUGAAUUUAGAUUUCUACAAGUUCUGAUUACUAUUGAAGAGUUUUCAUUGACCAAAUACCACGUUCAUGCAACACGAUAAUAAUUAAUAAAAAAAACCGAUCACGUUUGUAGCCUGUAGGGACUUGCCCAUUUCACGAGUAAACAUGAAUUUGAUACGAACCUUAGAAUGAUGCAUGGACCCAUCUUAUGUUAAAUAAUUGACAUCGAUAUGCUAUUGAUUAUAGCUAGGGAAGCUUUUGACUUGAAUCGGACAACUAAGGAUUUUUCUUAGAUCCGCCAUUUUUGUAACUACAUCUAAACAAAGACUUUUUGAUUGGCAUGAUAUGUGACGAUUUCACACACAAAAAAUCAUUGAGUAUAGCCAUAAAGCGAAGUUCUUCAUGAACAUUUGUCUACACAAAGAUGGAUUCGGAUAAUGCAAAAUUGGACCAAACAUUCAAUUAGAGAGUGAUAUAGCCAGAAGAAAGCUAGAGAAUCUAGUACAGCACCUCACUUUCUUUUUCAAUGUAAUUGAUCCAAUGACUUAUACAUAUGUCGUUUGUUAUCCCCAUAAGAUUUGUGGGUAGAUGCAAUGAAAUAUGAGAUGUAAUCUAUGAAUUAUCCUGGUGUUUGUGAGCUUAUUGAAUUGUCUGAAAGUUAUAAGUCCAUCGGCUGCAAAUGGGCAUAUAAGACUAAAAAGAGACUAAAAAAAAGAUUGAGAAGUUUAAAGUCAAACUAAUAGCCAAGAGUUUUACUCAAGAAAAGAAUAAGCUAUGAAUGAACUUUUUCCUCGUUCUUUUCUAAAGAUUCUUUUAAAGUAAUCAUGGCAUUAGUAUCUCAUAUUGAUAUGUAGUUACAAUAGAUGUAUAUUUAAAAAAAUGGAUACCAAGAUGAGGAGGUCUAUAUGGUGCAAACCGAAGGCUUUGCAACAAAUAAUUCAAGUAGACUUAUAUGUAUAUUGAUAAAGUAUAUUUAUGACCUCAAGCAAGCUUCUAGACAAUGGUACUUGAAGGUUCAUUAUGUUGUCACUUCAUUUAGUUUUGUUGAGAACAAAGUAGAUUAGUGUAUAUACUACAAAGCCAAUGGAAUGAAAUUCAUUUUUCUCAUACUUUAUGUAGAUGAUAUCUUGCUUGCGGGCAGUGAUAUUGGAUUACUACAUGAGACAAAGCGGAUCAUGUUGAAAAAAAUUUGAAAUGAAGGAUUUUGAUGAUACAUCUUUUGUCCUUGACAUUCAGAUCCGUACGGAUCGUUCUCGCCGUAUGUUGGGAUUGUCAUAGAGGGUAUAUGUUAAUCGUAUUUUGGAAAGAUUUUGUAAUUUUUUUUUUUUUUGGUAAGUAUCACUCCAGAGGGUAAGUUUGGAAAAGAUUUUGUUUGUAGCAUUGUAAGUCAAAAAUUGCCUAUGUCAUUAAGGGUGAUAAAAUGAAUCUCUCACAAUGUCCUCAUUCAAAUUUUGAAAAAUCCCAAAUGAAUGAUGUACUUCAUGCUAGGAUACUUGGAAAUAUCACGUAUGCUUAAGUUUGCAUUGGAUCAAACAUUGCUUUUGCGAUAUGACUUCUGAGCUAAUAUCAAUCAAAUUGCUGCCAAGAAGGUUUUAAGAUACCUAAGAAGGACAAGAAACUAUAUGCUGAUUUACAAACACGUUCAAGAUUUGCAUUUAGUAAGCUAUUCAGAUGUAGACUUUGCUAGCUAUUUGGAUAAUUUGAAGUCGACAAUAGGAUAUAUCUUUAAGUUAGCAAGAGUUACAAUGUUAUAAAUAAGAAAGAAACAGAAAUCUAUGUCAUCCUCAACCAUGCAAGUGGAGUUGGUAGCAUACUUUUCGAUUGCUACUAAGGCUAUUUGAUUCCAAAACCUUAUUAGGGAGUUGGCCAUAUUUGAUUUUAUGAAUAGACUUAUAUAAUUGUAUUGUAAUAAUAAUUGUGCAUUGUUGUUUAUCAACAACGACAACAGAUGUCUUAAGGUAUCUAAGCAUAUGGUGGUUAAGUUUUUGAAUAGUUUAGAAUGUUGGUGCUACAGUAGAGCAUAAGCCCAUCACAUGCAUGCCAAUGAGCCUUCGUGACUUUGCUCCAGUUUCACUGUUCAAAUUGUUGCACGAUGAAGGGAAAAGCAUGUGAGCAUUUGAGAUCCUGAUCAAUUGAGUCCCGGUCGAGAGAGGGAUUUUGCGGCGUCUUUUCUUGGUUUCUCAUUUCAGAUGGGGACCCUUUGAUUUAUUACGUUUAACUAAAACGUGGAGGCAUUAGAGACGAUGAGAAAAGGGCCCUCCAAUCAUUAUUAUCUUGUCUAUUAUUUUCCUUAUAUUUUGCACAUUUUUCCUUAUCUCCGCAAGUAACAUUUUGCACGAAAACUAGGGGGGAUGAACAUCGAAACAUUGUUAGGUGAGCUCAUGAUAUGGGAUGGACAGGUGGAUUGUUAUUAGAUGCAUGGAAUGCUCGAGCCCUUCAAUUGAUGUAAUCUCCAUUCACGCAUGGUGGGUUUUUCCGUCCGCCUAAAUCGUGAUGUCUGAGCAUAGCUCCUGAGUCAUUACAUAUGUGUUAGGAGGAACUGUAAAAUUUUGUUGGCCGUCGCCUAAGUUUUUUUUUUUUUUUAAUCAAAAUCGUCUAAGUUUAAGUUGUUAAAUGAAUGCGCAAUCUAAUAAAUAAAUAUGUUAUACUCCCUCUUCCGCAUAAGCUAGACUUUGAUAUAAGAUUUAGAAAGUGAGCACCAUUUUAAUAUAAAAAUACUAAAUCUCCAUCUCAUGCAUAAACUAGCUGUUUUGGACUUAUAAAUUAGUCAUUAGUUGCAAAAUCAACAGGUUGGAUUCUCAAUUCUAAUCUUUUGUAACCAAUGUUCAUGGGGUUGAUUUCUAAUUUGAUGUAUGAAACCAAUCACCCAUACUAACAUUAAAGCUUGUGACCAAGAAUUGACUCAACUUGGUUUCGAUUGCCCCUACUAAAAUGGGAGAAUUACCAAAAAAGUCAUAAACCUAUUGUAAUUGUGCCAAUUCAAUCCUAAACUUUUUUUUUGGGCAAUUUAGUCCUAAACCUUUUACAAUUAUGCCAAUUCCGUCCAUCCGGUCAAAAUUGGCCGGCCGACGCUGACGUAGACGCCGGCCGUCCGGCGAACGCUGACGUGGCAUUUAAAAAAAAAAUCUAAAUUUUUAAUAUUUUUUUCGAAAUUUUUAAUAUUUUUCGAAUUUUUUUAUUCUUUAUUCCUUUUUUUUCCCACCAUCUUCUUUGCCUCUUGGCCGGCCGGCACCGGCUAGAGGCGAGGGCUGGUGAGGUAAGCCUCGCCGGCCACUGGCGAGGGCGAGGCCCUGCCAGAUCCGGCGAGGGCGAGGCCCUGCCAGAUCCGGCGAGCUCGGCCCUCGCCAGAUUCGGUAGGGCCUUGCCCAGCCAAGGCGAGGGUUGACCUCGCCAGUGGCCGGCGAGGCGACCUCGCCCACCAUCCACAAUGCGGCAGCGAUCAGAAGCCGCGAGCUCGCUCGCACUCCGGAGGCGCAAUCGCAAGGCACGGAUUUAGGUGGAGAGAGAGAAUGGUUCCGAGCGAGUGGCGAGGCGACCUCCUCAACCGGAGAAUCUUCGGGUGACUAUCCCUCUCUCUCUCUCUCUCUCUCUCUCUCUCUCUCUCUCUCUCUCUCUCUCUCUCUCUCUCUCUCGUUCGAAGUGACCGAGCGGCGGUGACGUAGCAGAUGGCGACGGGGCACGCGGUGCGGUUGCAGUAAGCGCGGAGUACGCUCGGCCAAUUGUGACAGAGACGUGGUGGCCGAUAGGGUUUCGAGGGAAGACAACGGCGACGACUCGUCGAGCAGCAGCUUGUCACCUAUUCGUAGCGAGGGUAUGGCACGGCGGCGUUGCUGGUCAGCGAGAUGGCGUCAAUUGCUGCGACGGCGACAGACAGUAGGGAUUUGUCUCUAGGACAAUGUCGGGGCUACACUGAAGCAGAUGCUGGCGAGCGAUAGUGACGCGGUGGAGAUCUGGUGCAACGAUGGCGUCGGGGGGUUCGGGCAGCGUCAACAGCACCUCCUUCCUUCUCGGAUCUAACCCCCUUCUCUAGUUUCUCUUCCUCUCUCCGGCCCCUCUUCGCAGAUCUAGAACUCCCUUGCCCAAAAUUCCUACCCUCUGGCUAGAUUUGAGAUCUCUGCCUCGCCCUCGCCAAUGGUCGGCGAGGCUGACCUCACCAGAUUUGGCGGGGUCUCGCCCUCGCCAGUGGCCGGCCAGGUUGACCUCGCCGGCCUUCACCUCCAGCAGGUAGGGGCGAGCCUUGCCAUUGGCCGGCGAGGCUGACCUCGCCAACCCUCGCCUCUGGCCGGCCGAAGAAGAUGAUAGGAAAAAAAUAAAAAUAAAAGAAAUAUAAAAUUCGAAAAAAAAAAUUAAUUUUUUUUAAAUGCCACAUCAGCAUUCGCCGGACGGCCGGCGUCCACGUCAGCGUCAGCCUGCCAAUUUUGGUCGAAUGGACUGAAUUUGCACAAUUGUAAAAGGUUUAGGACUAAAUUGGCAAAAAAAAAAAAGUUUAAAACUGAAUUGGCACAAUUACAAUAGGUUUAUGACUUUUUUGGUAAUUCUCCCUUACUAAAACUAUAGUGCACAAGUUGGAAUUUUUUUUUUUGUGGGAUCACUAAUUAGUAUUUAAAAAGCAGGGUAUUCACACUAAAUCUCACUAAACAACCUCAUAAGUCUCUGACACCCUUUUGUUGUCUGUGCGCACGGCACCUUCCUUUCCCUUCUCCCAAGGACAACCUUCAAUCACUUAAAUUCAAAUAUGAUGUCACCGCGCAUGUCAAUCAUUAUCAGAAAAGGCUUACAUGCCGUCUAAUUUACUAUAGAGGAUAAUUCAUAUAAUUAUACCACGACAUACAUGAAAAUAAUAUAUAUCUUACUUGACAACUCGUAGAAAAACAUAAAUGAAUAAAUUUGAAAUGAAUAUAAUGCUUCACUGAAUAACUGUACAAAAGUAUUUUGAGCACGGUAUGUCGGUAAUAUCCUCUAAAUCAUUUGACACGUUGCUAGUUUUCUCGUCAUCUAGAAUAGGGUCAAGAAAUACCGAGUCAUCUUACAUUACGAACUCAUGCAACAAUGAUAACUAGAACACGAGCUUUUCCAUCAGCAAUUUAUGUCAUGCUUAUAUAGCGUUGGUUUACUAUAAGAAAUCAAUAGCACGUCGUUCGUCCUUCAUUACGUAUCAGAUUAUCCUCUUACGAACCCUCUUUCUUGCUGGGUUUUCUGCUACUAUAGCUAGAAUCACUUCUUUCACCACAUAAGAUACAGAGACGAUCUUGCAGGCCGACGUGGUCCUGCAACGAUAAUGCCAUCGCAACCUAUGCGAGCCACACAAAAGGUGGUCGGCACUGUUUCUCUCUGCCCCACUCGCCACACGUGCGUGAAACUGCACCCGAUUCUUAUUCGCCCGGUUAUGGUACAAUCUAGCUUGUCUCUGCCAAUCGAAAGGCACCGUCCUAACUGACAUCGGUGAUGACGUCAAAAUUCAAAAAAAGAUUAGUAUACCACAAUAAUAUAUUCAUUGAAUAUAUGUUUUUGAAUCUAAAGCCUCCAUGCAAUCAAUGGUUGCACUUGUUUGUUUCUCGACCCCAUGUGAGUAUUGUCAGCUUAGAAAUAGAAAACCUAGAAAUUGUUCAUUUCAUAAUAUUGGGGAUGCAACUUGUGUGUAGGUGUUGUAGGGUUCUGUCGUGCCUUGUGGUGCACUUACUCGUAAAAUGAGAACAUUAAUCAUAUAAUAAUCUUGUGUUCACAAUCACGUUUGACAAUUAUGUAUUCAUAGAUAUGCAAAGUGUUGGAUGAUUUUGUCAUUUUCUCAUCUCAAAAGUUAGCUUAAAGAAUAAGACUUUUCCUCAUAUUUAUAAAUCGACUGCCAAUUUCUACAAUUGAAAUUCAAAUAAUCUCCUUCUCACAUAUUAGGCCUUAAUUGGAAGCCGCAAUAAUCCGUAACUCCUGGGCUCUAAUAAUGAUAUAAGGUGAUUUUGAGCCUUACUCGUCUCAAAAGUUAACUUAAGGAGUGGAGUUUUUCCUCACAUUUAUAAAUCAACUACUAGCUUUUUGCACAAUCAAUGUGGAAGAACCCCAAUUAAAGGGUGUAAAAAUCAGAUUUCUACAAGUUCAAUUACUAGUGAAGAAAUUUCAUUCCCCAAGUACCAUAAAAACUAAGCGAACAGUUAGCGAUGUGUAUGGGCAUCUUAUGGUGAAUAAUCAGCAUUGGUUCACUAUUGAUUGAAGCUACUGAACUUUCGACUUGAAACGGAAUAAUAAGGAAUUUUUUUCAAAUCCACAAUUAUUGGAAAAUGAACCUACGUGAACACUUUUUGGAUUGGCAUAAUAUGUGACAUUUUCACGCAUAAAAAAUAGGUUGAGUUCAAGCAUAAAGCGAAGUUAACAUUUAUCUAAAAGAAGGAUUCGCACAAUGCAAAAUUGGACUAAACGUUGGAUUAAAGAGUGAUAUGGGUAGUAGAAAGCACAAGAGUCCAGAAUAGCACCUCACUUUCUUAUUCAAUGUGCUGUUUCAUAUGCCCCGUCCGACUAAUUCAAUCAGUAGUUGGAAAGCCCAAGUGGGGCCCUAUCAAAAUCACGGUCGACCUAAGAAGUUUACUGAAAGAAAAAUCCAAAUACCGAGUGACGUGCUUGCUGACGACGACAAUAAUCUCAAAACCCCUAUAAAUUGAGACGCUCCCUUCACUCCAGUCCCACAGCAUUGGCUCUCUCUCACACAUCCUCUUCUCUGAUACUAGGGACACAAUGUCUUCCAGGUACUUGCUAGUUUUGCUCCUGGGAGCGGUGCUUUCCGCCGCUGCCGUCGUCUCCGACGGCCACCACCCUUUAAAAAAAGAGCAUAAACCACACCACAAGCACCACCACAAACUGACCAAAAAAAAAGCACCACCACAAGCACCACCCUGGUGGUUGCCGUCUCAUGGAGACCGUCGAAGCCGAGGACUCGCACAAGCCAUUCCCUAAACACAAGCCCCCACACCACGAUCACCCUCUCGAGGACAUUCUUGUCGAGGAGGUUGAAAAGGAAGACUCCCACAAAAAGCCAUUCCCCGGCAAGAAACCGCCCCACCACCCCGGCCAUUUGCUUGCCGAGGAAGUGGAAGCUGAUGAAAAAAAGAAGCCAUUCCCCGAGCACAAACCCCCAAAGAAAGGCAACAAGCCACCACCGAAGAACAAGCCACUCCACGAGGGACACAUUCUUGUAGAGGAGGUGGAAGAGGACUCGAAGAAGCCAUUCCCUGAGCACAAGCCCCCCAAGAAAGGUGAGGAGCCCAAGAAGGGAAAGGGAGAGAAGCCGCCACCAAAGCACAAGCCACCACACGAGGGACACAUUCUCAUAGAAGAGGUGGAAGAGGACUCUAAGUAGCCAUUCCCUGAGCACAAGCUGCCAAAGAAAGGCAAGGAGCCAAAGAAGGGAAAGGGAGAGAAGUCGCCACCAGAGCACAAGCCACCACACGAGGGACACAUUCUCAUAGAAGAGGUCGAAGAGGACUCUAAGAAGCCAUUCCCUAACCACAAGCCGCCAAGGAAAGGCGAGGAGCCAAAGAAGGGAAAGGGAGAGAAGCCGCCACCAAAGCACAAGCCACCACAUGAGGGACACAUUCUCAUAGAAGAGUUUGAAGAGGAUUCUAAGAAGCUAUUCCCUGAGCACAAGCUGCCAAAGAAAGUCAAGGAGCCAAAGAAGGGAUGUCGCGACCAAUUUUUUUGGGUUUGAACUACCUAGGGUUUGGUUAAUGGAUUGUUAAGCCUAGACUUAACUUGGGCUCUCCCAAGCCCAUAUCAAUUCGCGACUUAGGUUUGAAUUGUUAACAUGCAAUUUUUUUAAUUAGGAGUCGCCACUAAUCUAUUUUUGAUGGGUCGAUUAGAAACCCUAGUAAAGUAACGGGAGAUUUACUUUACUCCUACAAACCAGAGACUAAGGGUACGGGGACUUGGUUACGUUAGAUUUCUCUAACGCCCUUUCGGUACCUUUCUUUUUAUUUUGAAAAAUGUUUGGCAAGCAGCUCGAAUUGAUUUUAAAUUAUCUUCCUAACAUGUGAGGUGCUCAUGCAGGUGCGUAAACCACCAAUUUAACACCCAAGAAAACAAUUAAAUAAUGCAGGACUUACCUCCAAAGCUACGAAAGCAUCUGCAAUAUUAAAUUAAAAUCCAUAUCAACAACCCUAGAUAUGGUUUCUAAUUAACAAGCAAUUACUCAAUUUUUGUUUCCUCUUUUUCAAUGAAAAUAUAGUCCAUAUGCAAUGCAAUGCUUCUAAUCUAAUAUGAAAUGAUAUGGCAUGGCAAUAUGUCAUAAACUAUACGAAUGAAUAAGAAUUUUUGUGAUUUCUUAAUGAACAUGCAAUAAUUAAAUAUGCAAUCUAGAUGACUUAAUUCUAAUGACGUGCAAUGCAAUGCAAUGCAAUGACGUACAAAAUUAUUUCAACUAAAAUGACGUGCAAUGCAAUGCAAUGACGUACAAAAUUAUUUCAACUAAAAUGACAUGCAACAUGCAAUUUAAUAUGCGAGGUAUAUGUCAGGCGACAUUUAUUAAAUUACAUAAUCUAAUUAUGGGCAAUUUCUAAUUAGAAAUGAACCUAACAAUAAUCACUAAAAUGACAUGCAUUUCAUGAACCUAAUUCUAUAUGACAUGCAAAUGACAUUUUUUUUAUUUUAAAAAUGCAAUCUAUCCUAGAAAUUGCAACUAAUUUAACCUAAGACAAAUUUUAUGAAAUUUGAAAUGAUCUAGCUAGAUUAAUAUUCUAUCUAAUUUAAACUAGGGAUUAAGUCAUAUUAAAUCCUAAUUUAAACUAAGACAUUAUCUAAAUCUAAAAUGCAAUUUAUCUGAAAAAGGUGAUAUAAAUUUAAAAUGAAACAUGCAAUUCUAAUCUAAUAUGCACAAUGAUUUUUUUUUGUGUUUUUCUUUAAUCUCGAAAUUAAAACUAACACAUAAUUAACAUGCAAUUCAAAUAAAAAACUAACAACCUAAAUGAAUGCACUUUCUUUUUUUGGAUUUUUUUAUUUAAAAAUUCAUAAUAAGAUUGCAAUCCUAAAUAUGCAAGAUGACAACAAACAUAAUCCUAAUUAAGAUUUUUUUUUAUUUUUUAUUUUUAUGAAAAUAAGAUUUGACUCAACCAACUUGACGAUAGCAAAUCAAACAAAAGAUAAGAUUGAUAUCCAAAAAUUAGCGAAUUAUAUCUCGCGCAUGAGAUCGGGUUGACCAAUUUUAAUUUUAAAUCGUGAAUCAAAUCUCGGGCUUGAGAUUGGAUUGUCGAUUUUUAUAAGGGAUUGCGAGUCGGAUUUCGGGCGCGAAAAUCGGACUGUCAAUCCCUAACUUGAGGGACUAUUUCAUAUUGGGAUCUCAAUCACAUAUUUAAAGGGAACAAUUUCACUAAAAGAAUAAAAUAAAAAGGAAAGAAAAAGAAAACGGUAAGUAAAUAAAUAAAUAAAAACUACCUAAUUUUCCUUUUUCCUUUUUUUUUCUUUUCCUUCCAAGCUUCGUGUUCGUGGCAAGUCACCAAAGCAAAGGAUCGGAGGUCCGGCAGGGGAAACUCCGGCAAAGGCAGUGGCUGUGUGGUGGGUCACCGUCAUAGGAAGUCACGGUGGUCGGAGCUCCGGCGAAGGGACUCGGUGGCUGGUGGACACAGCUGCAGCAGCUGGUCACGGGUGCUACAACGGCGUCGCUCGGAUGGGGAGCAAGCUCGGAACGGCGUGCAGGGGCGGAGACCGACUCGGCGGAGGGCUGCUACAGGCGUCGUAGGUCGUCGCAAGGACUUGGGUGGCAGCAGGCCACCGGGAUCGCGAGAUCUGGAUAGUGGGCCACGAGCAGAGGACUUCGGGUCGCGGCACGGUAGAGCAACUCAGGUGUCAGCACUUGGGCAGCAAGAGCGUCGGAUCGCUAGACCUCGGGGCAACGUCGUCAGGCUUCAAUGGGGCCAGCGGCGAAGCUUCAGGUGCUGGGCUAGGCGAAAGCAGCAAGGUGCAGGCGGUGGGCGGACGAACGGCGAUGGUGUUGCGGGCAAGGCCGGCAGGGCGACGGAUCGACGCUGGGUCGCCGGUGAGGUGUAGCUCCGUUGCUGGGGUUGAACAGCGAGGCGGGAGCAGCGUGUUUGAAGAAGAGCCAGCCGGUUAAUUGCAGAGGUGGGGCAGCGAAUUUGGGAAGACAAUGAACAGUAAGGGUCAAAUCACUCCCUCUUUGUCUCUGUCUUCUCUCUCUGCCUUUUCUUUUUACCUUUUUUUCUCUCUCUUUUUUUCGACGAAGAGAAUCCCCUCCUAUUUAUAGAGUGAAAACCCAAUCUGUUCUACCUACGAAGAUUUGCAUAACAACCCAAUCGCUGAGGAUUACCCUUCGAAAAAACGAGAUGUGCUCAACCAAAAAGAGGUUCAAAAAUCUAAAAUCAUCUAUUAAAAUCUUCUAAGCUGACUCACUUGAUCAUUGAAGAUUUUAUAUACUGACUCAGCGAUUGAAGAUAAUCUGAAAUUUUUUGUGAAUAUUUUCCAGAUAAUUUAUUCAAGAUAAAGCUUCAUUAUCCAACUCUAAAAUCUUCCAAAAUGUCUAUCCGCAACAAAAUAUUUUAGAUUAUUCCUUAUCCUCUUUAACAUUCCCAACGAUUUUACCACCAAAAGACUAAAGAUAAGAUUGCGAUAUGAUUUUUUUAAAUAUCAAAAACCACCAUAAUAUCGCAUCAAAUCUCAAUUUUCCACGAUAUAAUUUUCAAUAAAAAACAUGGGUUUGGGCCAACUUGCUCACUUUGUGGGCUUAGUCCAACUAAUUUGAACCCAUCCGCACCGACCCAAUAGAUAAAAUGCAAAAUUAAAAACAAAUGCACCUAAAUCUAUAUGCUAUGCAAUUAAUAUUUUUUUAGGGGUUAAAAUUAAUCCAUAAUUUCUUAAUGCGACAAACGACUGAAUUGGGUAGCCAAAAUUUAGGUGUCAACAAGGGAAAGGGAGAGAAGCCGCCACCAAAGCACAAGCCACCACAUGAGGGAUACAUUCUCAUAGAGGAGGUCGAAGAGGACUCUAAGAAGCCAUUCCCUGAGCACAAGCCGCCAAAGAAAGGCGAGGAGCCAAAGAAGGGAAAGGGAGAGAAGCCGCCACCAAAGCACAAGCCACCACACGAGGGACACAUUCUCAUAGAGGAGGUCGAAGAGGACUCUAAGAAGCCAUUCCCUGAGUACAAGCCGCCGAAGAAAGGCGAUGAGCUAAAGAAGGGAAAGGGAGAGAAGCCACCCCGAAAGCACAAGCCACCAAAGAAAGGUGAGGAGCCAAAGAUGGGAAAGGGAGAGAAGCCACCCCACAAGGGACACAUUCUCGUAUAGGAGGUGGAAGAGGACUCAAAGAAGCCGCUUCUUAAGCACAAGCCGCCCAAGAAAGGUGAGGAGCCGAAGAAGGGCAAGGGAGAAAAGCCACCACCAAAACACAAGCCACCACACGAGGGACAUUCUAGUAGAGGAGGUGGAAGAGGACUCAAAGAAGCCUUUCCCCAAACACAAGCCGCCGAAGAAAGGCGAGGAGCCAAAGAAGGGCAAGGGUGUGAAGCCGCCACACCACAAGCCACCACACAAGCCUCCCACCGAGAACUGAUUAUGCAUUCUUCAAUGAAUGUAUAUGUCGUGUGCUUUUCACGGGUUCAAAUAGGAGCUGGUCCAUAGUGUCUGACACUACCGUGUUAGCUGGUUCGCUGUUUGUGCUCCAUGGGGAUAUAAAAUGUAUGUACUUUGCUUGGUCAUGUCCUUUGACUUUGCCUACGUUGAUAUAUGCUGAGUACUUGCUAGCCAUGAGCUUUCCUUUCUAAUUAUGCCUUUAAUUAGUAACUUACGAAUUAUGGACAUUGUCCCCUUGCAAUCUUAAGUAAAAAUAAAUAUGGGGUUUAUCCAUAAUUUUAAAUCAGAAAAUUGGUUGACCAAAGCUUCUUCUAAUCAAAGUUGGAGGAAGACAUGGCCCUUCUUUGUAGGUUUUUAAUAUGAUCUAGUUAUUCUAACGCCUAUUAAUUACAACUUUCCACACCAUCCAACGUAUUAAUUUUGUAGAUUACCCUUGAUAUAUCUAACAUUAUUGGCCCAAAUACUAGUAUCAUGACACAAUAGUGAAGGUAUUUAUUGAGAUGAUUUACACACAUAGGUUGAAUCAUAAUGAUUUUCACCCCCCCUCAAAAACUCAAAUCAUAGAUUGAAAGAGUGAUGCAUGGAACCACUAAAGUUUACCCCAGUAGCCACCCUUCCAACAUGGAAGAGGGAGGUGGGGUGUUCGAAUCCCCACAUUCUCGAGGGGUUGGGGUGGGGAUGGUUUAUUUUCAGGUAUAGGUUUCAACUCCCAUGCUCUGUAAGGAGGUAGGACAAAAGUCUCAAAAUGAGAGUUAGUAGGAAUAGAGUAAGACCGACAAAAAAAAAGAAGAAAAAAAAAGAGUGAUGCAUGGAAGCAUGCAUGCAUUUAUUGAUUUUGCAUAUUGCUAUAUGAACUUGUUAUCCCUCUCUUUGCACUUCACCAUCCAAUUAUUUUCUUGAUCCUUCACGGGGAAUUUACAAGGGCAAAAUUACCAAACAAGUCCAAAACCUAUUGUGCUUGUAUAAAUUCAUUCCUAAGUAUUUUAAUCAUGUCAAUUUAGUCCUAAAUAUUUUCACAAUUUGCCAAUUUAUUCAUAAACUCUUUGUCAAUUUAGUCAUUUUAGCUAAUUUUGGCUCGAAAAACACUGACGCGGGUCUAGUCAGCGUCAACCAUCUACUACUACUAUUUGCUUGUUUUUGUGGCCCUUGCCUAUGGCCAACAAUGGUUGGCUAGUGACCUCCAUGCCCUUGCUAGCUAAGAGUUGGAAAAAAAAGGUAAAGAAAAAAGAAUACAAAAUUCAGAAAAAAUUAUCCACAUAAGCUUUUUUUUCAGCAACAAUUAGUUGAAAUAACUAAAUUGACAAUUCGUCCAAAGGUUUAAGACUAAAUUGAUAUAAUUAAAAUAUUUAGACUGAUUGGCAAAUUGUCAAAAAAUUUAUAACUAAAUUGGCCAAGUUAAAAACUUAGGACCGAAUUAGCACAAGUAUGAUGGAUUCAGAAUUUUUUUUUUUUUUUUUGUUGAUAUUUUCCAAUUUACAAGUUAACAUAGAACACUCUCAUUUUAUCGUGAACUUGUUUAAUCCGAUCGUGAUAUAGUUGAGGAACUUCAUGAAUAACAGGUUUCUCACUAUACUUAAUUGCAUAGGAUACUAAAAAAUAAUCAUGUUAGAAAGACCUGGACGUGUGGUUAGUAUUGGAUGUGGUGUCGGCGAAUAUAUUAUCUUCAUAAAACUGAUAUGCCUAACCGACCUAAGUUUCAUACUUGGAAACAAUGAUUAUAUGUCAAGAAAGCGAUGGUAUGGGAGACUCCAGAAACACGAUAAGAAGAUGCGUCCUAAUUAUGCCAAACAUGAUUGCUAGAAUGACGAAGCCCGUCACAUGCUCCAGUUUCACUGUUCAAAUUGUUGCACGAUGAAGGGAACAGCAUGUGAGCAUUUGAGAUCCUGAUCAGUUGGGUCCCGGUUGAGAGAGGGAUUUUGCGGCGUCUUUUCUUGGUUUCCCAUUUCAGAUGGGGACCCUUUGAUUUAGUACGUUUAACUAAAACGUGGAGGCAUUAGAGACGAUGAAAAAAGGGCCCUCCACUCAUUAUUAUCUUGUCUAUUAUUUUCCUUAUAUUUUGCACAUUUUUCCUUAUCUCCGCAAGCAACAUUUUGCACGAAAACUAGGGGGGAGGGGGGGAUGAACAUUGAAACAUUGUUAGGUGAGCUCAUGAUAUGGGAUGGAUAGGUGGAUUUUUAUUAGAUGCAUUGGAUGCUCGAGCCCUUCGGUUUAUGUAAUCUCCAUUCACGCGUGCUGGGGUUUUUCGUCCACCUAAAUCGUGAUGCGUGAGCAUGGCUCCUGAGUCAUUAUAUAUGUGUUUGGAGGCACUGUAAAUUUUUUGUCAACCAUCACCUAAGUUUUUUUCUGAUCAAAAUCACAUAAGUUUAAGUUGUUAAAUGAAUGCGCAAUCUAUUAAAUAAAUACUGUUAUACUCCCUCUUGCGCAUAAGCUAGACUUUGAUAUAAAAUCUAGAAAGUAAGCACCAUUUUAAUAUAAAAAUACUUUAAAUCUCCAUCGCAUGCAUAAACAACCUGUUUUGGAUUUAUGGAUUAGUUAUUAGUUGCAAAACCAACAGGUUCGGUUCUCAAUUCCAAUCUUCCGUAACCAAUGUUCAUGGGGUUGGUUUCUAAUUUGAUGUAUGAAACCAAUCGCUCAUACUAGCAUUAAAGCUUGUGAUCAAGAACUGAGUCAACUUGGUUUCGAGUGCCCCCGCUAAAACCAAAGCACAUAAAUUGAAAAUAUAUAUUAAGCAAAUUUUUCGUGGGAUCACUAAUAAGUAUUUAAAAAGCUUAAAUCUGUUAUUUAAUAUCUCAAGCAUGGUUUUCACACUAAAUCUCACUAAACAACCUUAUAAGUCUCCGACACCCUUUUGGUGUGUGCGCGCACGGCAUCUUCCUUUCCCUUCUCCCAAGGACAACCUGCAAUUACUUAAAUUCAAAUAUGAUGUCACCAAGCAUGUCAGCCACGACAGCGACUUCACCGGAUCGUGCGCCGGAAUGAAUAAAGACCCGACAGAGAGACAGACAGAGAAACGGGUGGAUCCGAUCGGAAGGCUACAGGGUUUACGAUCGUUGAUCGCGAUUUUGGUGGCAAAAGCCUGUGUGAAAGGUCGAAAAGGUGGACAUUUCGCCCCGUUGAGAUUAGUUACGAUAAAAUCUUCUUUUGAGUCGAACAGCCCCGACAUCGGUGCUGCGUAUUUUACCUGGAUUUCAGUCUCGAUUCUGCUGAGAAAGACGUAGAGUAGACUAGACCCAGGCUCUUGACACCUCAUCCCCGGCAUCCUUCCGUUUUUCUGUGGUUUCCGUGAUCAUGUCAAACUUCUUCAUCCUUGCACUACGACUAGCCUAAGCAAAUUUCUGUCUAUUCUCGUUAUCAGUCUUUUCGUGUUUCUUGACUUCAAUAUUUUAAAAAUUAAGCCGCGGCAUCUCUAUCGUGUUCGGCAAGUAACUUUGAAUUUCUCAUAUAAAAUCAACACGUGAAGUGAUAAUUUUAGUUGAGCCAUGGUAUCAGUGAGAGUUGAUUGGUUGACUAAAUUGGAUGAAAACAUCAAGGUUUCGCUCUUUAAUAGAGUGCCCAUUGAGUUGCUUGGAGUGCCCAUUGAGUUGCUUAGUAUAUAGUUUCUUAUCUUCAUUUUUUGUCAUUUAGUUUAGGAUUUCUACCCAUUUUUUGUUAAUAAAAAAACAUAAAGCAUAAGAAAGAGGACUCAAAGUUUCCCAAUGUACAUUAUUUUUAAUAAUUAUACGGUUCAUUGAAACUUUUGGCUCUGAAUACUUUGCACGGAUUUGCGUAGAUUGCCCUGUCUAGAUAUUUACGUCUAUCAGAAAAAGCUUACAUGCCGUCUAAUUUACUGUAGAGAAUAAUUUAUAUAAUUAUACCAGGACAUACAUGAAAAUAAUACAUAUCUUACUCAACAGCUCUUAGAAGAACAUAAGUGAAUCGGUUUGAAACAAAUCUAAUGCUUCACUGAACAAUUGUACAAAAGUAAUUUAAGUAUGGUAUGUCAGUAAUAUCCUCUAAAUCAUUUGACACGUUGCUAGUUUUCUCAUCAUCCAGAAUAGGGUUAAGAAGUACCUAGUCAUCUCACAUUACGAACUCAUGCCACAAUGAUAACUAGAACACGAGCUUUUCCAUUAGCAAUUUAUGUCAUGCUUAUAUAGCAUUGGUUUACUAUAAGAAAUCAAUAGCACGUCGUUUGUCUUUCAUUACGUAUCAAAUUAUCCUCUUAGGAACCCUCUUUCUUGCUGGGUGUUCUGCUACUAUAGCUAGAAUCACUCUUUUCACCACAUAAGAUACAGAGACGAUCUUGCAGGCCGACGUGGUCCUGCAACGAUAAUGCCAUCGCGACCUAUGGGAGCCACACAAAAGGUGGUCGGCACUGUUUCUCUCUGCCCCACUCGCCACAUGUGCGUGAAACUGCACCCGAUUCUUAUUCGCCCGGUUAUGGCACAAUCUAGCUUGUCUCUGCCAAUCGAAGGGCACCGUCCUAACUGACAUCGGCGGUGACGUCAAAAUUAGAAAAUAAUUAGUAAUACCACAAUAAUAUAUUCAUUGAAUAUAUGUUUUUGAAUCUAAAGCCUCCAUGCAAUUAAUGGUUGCACUUGUUUGUUUCUCGACCCCAUGUGAGUAUUGUCAGCUUAGCAAUAGAAAACCUAGAAAUUGUUCAUUUCAUAAUAUUUGGGGUGCAACUUGUGUGUAGGUGUUGUAGGGUUCUGUCGUGCCUUGUGGUGCGCUUACUCGUAAAAUGAGAACAUUAAUCAUAUAAUAAUCUUGUGUUCACAAUCACGUUUGACAAUUCCCUAUUCGUAGGUAUGCAAAGUAUUGGAUGAUUUUGUCAUUUUCUCAUCUCAAAAGUUAGCUUAAAGAAUGAGACUUUUACUCAUAUUUAUAAAUCGACUGCCAACUUCUAUAAUCGAAAUUCAAAUAAUCUUCUUCUCAUAAAUUGGGCCUUGACUGGAAGCCGCAAUAAUCUAUAACUCAACCUGGGCUCUAAUAAUAAUAUCAGGUGAUUUCGAGCCUUACUCAUCCCAAAAGUUAACUUAAGGAGUGGAGUUUUUCCUCACAUUUAUAAACCAACUACUAGCUUUUUGCACAAUCAAUGUGGAAGAACCCCAAUUAAAGGGUGUAAAAAUUAGAUUUCUACAAGUUCAAUUACUAGUGAAGAAAUUUCAUUGCCCAAGUACCAUAAAAACUAAGCGAAGAGUUAGCGAUGUGUAUGGGCGUCUUAUGGUGAAUAAUCAGCAUUGGCGCUAUUGAUUGAAGCUACUGAACUUUCGACUUGAAUCGGAAUAAUAAGGAAUUUUUUUCAAAUCCACAAUUAUUGGAAAAUGAACCUACGUGAACACUUUUUGGAUUGGCAUAGUAUGUGACAUUUUCACGCAUAAAAAAUAGGUUGAGUUCAAGCAUAAAGCGAAGUUAACAUUUAUCUAAAAGAAGGAUUCGCACAAUGCAAAAUUGGACUAAACGUUGGAUUAAAGAGUGAUAUGGGUAGUAGAAAGCACAAGAGUCCAGAAUAGCACCUCACUUUCUUAUUCAAUGUGCUGUUUCAUAUGCCCCGUCCGACUAAUUCAAUCAGUGGUUGGAAAGCCCAAGUGGGGCCCUAUCAAAAUCAUGGUCGACCUAAGAAAUUUACUGAAAGAAAAAUCAAAAUACCGAGUGACGUGCUUGCUGACGACGACAAUAAUCUCAAAACCCCUAUAAAUUGAGACGCUCCCUUCACUCCAGUCCCACACCAUUGGCUCUCUCUCACACAUCCUCCUCUGAAACUAGUGACGCAAUGUCUUCCAGGUACUUGCUAGUUUUGCUCCUGGGAGCGGUGCUUUUCGCCGCUGCCGUCCUCUCCGACGGCCACCACCCUUUCAAAAAAGAGCAUAAACCACACCACAAACACCACCACAAGCACCCCCCUGGUGGUCGCCGUCUCUUGGAGACCGUCGAAGCCGAGGACUCGCACAAGCCAUUCCCUAAACACAAGCCCCCGCACCACGGCCACCCUCACGAGCACAUUCUUGUCGAGGAGGUUGAAAAGGAAGACUCCCACAAAAAGCCAUUCCCCGGCAAGAAACCGCCCCACCACCCUGGCCACUUGCUUGCCGAGGAAGUGGAAGCCGAUGAAAAAAGGAAGCCAUUCCCUGAGCACAAACCCCCAAAGAAAGGCGACAAGCCACCACCAAAGCACAAGCCACCCCACGAGGGACACAUUUUGGUAGAGGAGGUGGAAGAGGACUCGAAGAAGCCAUUCCCUGAGCACAAGCCGCCCAAGAAAGGUGAGGAGCCCAAGAAGGGAAAGGGAGAGAAGCCGCCACCAAAGCACAAGCCACCACACGAGGGACACAUUCUCAUAGAGGAGGUCGAAGAGGACUCUAAGAAGCCAUUCCCUGAGCACAAGCCGCCCAAGAAAGGUGAGGAGCCCAAGAAGGGAAAGGGAGAGAAGCCGCCACCAAAGCACAAGCCACCACACGAGGGACACAUUCUCAUAGAGGAGGUCGAAGAGGACUCUAAGAAGCCAUUCCCUGAGCACAAGCCACCAAAGAAAGGCGAGGAGCCAAAGAAGGGAAAGGGCGAGAAGCCGCCCCCAAAGCACAAGCCACCCCAUGAGGGACACAUUCUUGUAGAGGAGGUGGAAGAGGACUCAAAGAAGCCGUUUCCUGAGCACAAGCCGCCCAAGAAAGGUGAGGAGCCGAAGAAAGGCAAGGGAGAAAAGCCACCACCUAAGCACAAGCCACCACACGAGGGACACAUUCUAGUAGAGGAGGUGGAAGAGGACUCAAAGAAGCCUUUUCCCGAACACAAGCCGCCGAAGAAAGGCGAGGAGCCGAAGAAGGGCAAAGGUGAGAAGCCGCCGCACCACAAGUCACCACACAAGCCUCCCACUGAGAACUGAGUAUGCGUUCUUCAAUGAAUGUAUAUGUCGUGUGUUUUUCACGGGUUCAAAUAAGAGCUGGUCCAUAGAGUGUCUGGCACUAUCGUGUUAGCUGGUCCGCUGUUUGUGCUCCAUGAGAUAAAGGAUGUAUGUACUUUGCUUGGGCAUGUCCUUUGACUUUGCCCACGUUGAUAUAUGCUGAGUACUUGCUAGCCAUGAGCUUUCCUUUCUAAAACUCUUCUAAGUGUCCCCUUCUGCAAUCUAACCUUGCCAUGUCCCGCGAGCACGAAAAGUUUGUUCAUACUCCUAAACCCUCAGCAAACAUAGAUGCACGACUAGAAUCUGAUUAAUAAUUAAGUGAAAGACGUAAAAUAGAAAGUUGAUUUGCACUAUUCAUUUGAAAAAUUCAUGCGGAAAGUAUUUAUCGGAGUGCUUAGAUAGGACUUGCUUAUUCAGAAUAGACACAGCAGAUUUUCAUCCAAACAAGUGUGCGAAGUACAGCUUUAAUCCAAAAAGCUUGGUUUGAUUAUCUAAGAUCUAAAAAUUGUGAUCAACUGCUUCUGACCCCCUUGUGAAGUAUGAAAAUGAAUAAUGAAUUUUUUGACAUAUUGAUAGUUGUACAUACAUGAGAUGAUAACAAUGGAUUGUAAGGAAAAUAUUGAUUCGAAUUGGGUAGAACACUGAAGUCAGAUUUUUAGAACAAACAAGUCAGACUUUUAAAGGUGAUAUUACUUUCUUUGAAGAUUUAUUUGCUUCAUAAUUGUUGUUAAUGGUUAUCAGCAAAUUUUCUCCAAAAUACAAUAAAGUCUUAAAUGAGAAUACUAGAUAGUAAUUCUAAUAUUUCUUCAGGGUCUCUCUAUAAAACAUUUGGAAAAGAUGAUUAUAUAUAUUUUGAAAGAAAACAAAAAUGGGAAGAGAAAGUUUGUGAAAAGACUUGAAAGUUCUACAAAGAAUUGAAUUGAAUAUUUAUAUUUGAAUGGAUGCAACCUUUCAGAGAUGAAGAAGUUAUUUCCAAGUAAACACAACCUUUCAAAGGUUGUAAUAGUGCCUAAUAACUAUUAGGCAAAAAUAAUAAAUUCUAGUUUAAAUAAUUAAAAAGUAACCAUCACUCUAUUAUGAACAAUGACAUUGUUUCACUAGGGCGCAAAAGUUAUUAUAUAUAUAUAUAUAUUUGGCGACCUAAGAUCCGCCGGGCCCGACUUUCACUUAUAAUCGCUAGCCCACGGCCCGUACAGUACGUGAUACACCUCGGACCAAGUAUCAAUACCUAAGAGGAAGCUAGCACAGGACCCCACCACCAUGGCCCCUCACUUAAGACGUGUUAGCAGCUGUGGAGUUUCGGCGAACCAACUCAGCUGUCCACCGGAGGGUGUUAUUUUAUAAUUAUUAAUUUUAAUUUUAAUGAAUAAAAAAUAAUUGUUGUUAAUUAGUGCAAAAUCUCGUUCACAUACGCACUCGCAUCGACAAGGCACCGCUUAGUUUGUUUUACAAACAAACUACAAACAUAGAUGAAUUAGAAACAUCAAUUUUUUCUAUUUAGCUAACUACUAAAGACUGUUAACAGAACCGUAUUAUUCUAAAUAGAUACUUACCGACGACCAAAAGCUACACUACACGUCCCAACAGAUUGAUCCGAUUUUACUUUUUAAAGAUAUGCUUCAAUUGACGUUUGACAAUUUGGCCAUCCUAAAUAGAUACCUACCGACGACUAAAAGCCACACUACACGUCCCAACGUAAUGAUCCGAUUUUGCUUCUUACAGAUAUGCUUCAAUUGACGUUUGACAAUUUGGCCUAACUGCUUUUGGACUGAUUUACCAAAUGGCCCACUAAUUCCUUCGUUUAGCACUUAUGCUAGUCAAAAUAUGAAUUUUCAUAUAACCUAAUUGGGUCGAGCAUUUCGGAUGUACCUAGUUAUAGAGCUAAAAUGUGCCAUAGUUUAUUUGGAAAGUUCUAACAAAGUUAAUUUAGCUCUUUUUUUGGAUGACCAUUUUCAUAUCUUCAUAUUUACACCGGUUUGCUAUCUCUAGACAAAACACCUAAAAAGACCAAAUUACUCUCCCAUACAAGUACCCAAGCCUGCGAACCCUCUCAUGAACCCUAGCCACUAUUGCCGACAAAUCCCUUCUCUCCCUCAACACACAUCACCAUCAGUUGCCAUCAAACCCCUAGCCCACCUUUAUAAAUCUUCAAGCCUUGAAACUCUCCCAAUUCCGAUAUCAAUUUAUAGAAUCUAAUGAUAUCUAAAAGUUUAUUUUCUAACAAUGAUGAUAUUUGAUUUAUCGUAUCAUCUCAUAAAAAAAGAAAAAGAUAAACUCCACCUUUUUCAUAAAGUCAGUACGUUCACCACGUAAAUUAAGAUUGACCAUAUGUUUGUAGGUGCUAUGGUCCUGCGUCCUAUACAUACAAACACCUAUGUGACCCACCAAGGUGGCCGGUACCACCAAUAACUCAAUAUGCUCCCACUUGCCGCACGUGCUUGGAUUUGUAAUGGUUCCAAUCAAUUUGUAUGUAUAUCCAAGACAAGUUAUGUACUUUGUAUUAUUUUUUUGACUAAUUUCAUGAACCCAGUUAAUCAAAAUGUUGAAUCAUGUGAAACCAUAUAAGAGUCGACAUGUGAUCUAAUGGAUAUAGUGGUUCAUAUGUGAGACCAUAUAAUGUAGCGAUUAUAGUACAUCAAGCUCAUACGUAUCUAAUACAUGCAAUGCUGGUGGAUACUUGAUGUGAGUGCCCUCGCGACGUGGGACGAUACCGUGAAGUCAAAAGAAGUCUAUACUACCCUAGACUUACCAGCCCAAUUCCAAUUCCCCCAGAUUUUAUUCGAUGUUGUACCCUAUCAAUUAAUGCCUCCUUUGUCGGGUACGUUGCCUAAUUUAAGGUCACAGUCCCAAAUGAUAUGGGCAGUGACGUCAUAUUAAAGCAAUUUAGUAAUUUGAAUGUGCUUUAUAUUCAAGACACAAUCCCUAAAAAUGAGGCCCUCGAUGUUAUAGUGAAUACACUCCUUUGUAUAUCGCCCAAGUAAGCAUAAGUUUUUCUGAAUUCACCUCGUUAAUGGAAAAUGAACAAAGUUGCACGUUAACGACUUCGGAUAAGACAAGCUAGUAGUUUAUUAUGCUCUUAGGAGGUGCAAUCUGUACGCGAUAAAACAAAGUUGUUUAUUCUCUCCGUGCCCUGUGAUUUUUGCUUGUAACUUAAGAACAUCGAUAUUGACCAAGUGUGUAAGUUUUAAGAACAAGGAUUUUAGCAAUUCUAUCGUCAGUGAAGAAUUUCUAUUGCACAAACGCUAUUGAUCUCGUGGUGUCGGUAAACUUGACAUAAACUCUUAUUAGGUCUAUCAUUAAAGUGGAAAAAUUUAUUGAAACCACACUUUAGAUCGAUGAUACGUAAAAAUUACAAUCACAUUGGACCAUCGGCCGAUGAUCACGUUGGAUAUAUCAUUGAAGAACAUGAAAUAUUUUGGAGAAAAAGAAUUCCUUUUCAAUAUAUUUUCAUAUCUCUUCUUGAUACCAAGAAACACACGCGCACACACAAGAGAACCCUACUAUAGGUUAAUCCUAAGAUUCCCUUUAAAUAAAGAAGCACAACAGGUAACAAAUUAGUAUACAAAACUUCCUAAUUUAGUUCCAAUUUAUAGCUCACACCAACACUCCCCCUCAAGUUGGUGCAUAAAUCUCUUCGAUGCCCAACAUGUCAAGUGUGCUAUAGAAGAUCUUGCUCAAUACAACCUUUGCCAGUAUAUCAGCCCGUUGAUCUUCAUAUUUAACAAAAGGAAAUCGAACUAUCUCGGUAUCUAGAUUCCAUCUAAUAAAAUGUUGAUCUACCUCAAUAUACUUUGUACGAUGGUGCUGAAUUGGACUGUGAGAAAUAUCAAUGGUUGCCUAAUUGUCACAAAACAAAUUCAUCUUAGACUUAGGAGUGAAGCCAAGUUCUGACAUCAACCUCUUAAGCCAAAGAAGUCACAAUGUCCUUUGGUCAUUUCCGUAAAUUUAGCCUCUACACUCGACAACACUAUCACUUUUUGUUUCUUGCUUCUCCGAGUGACUAAAUUCCUUCUUAGUAGGGAUAUACAAAACAAAGUGCCCAAACCAAGAACUGCCUAGACCAGACUGGCUGGUGUGGUCCAGUUUCCAAGAGUAUCGGUUCGGUUCCAAGUUCCUAAAAGUGGAGUUGGUUUUUGAACAGUAUGGUUCUUGGUUCCAAGGGAAAACCGAACUGGACCGAUUAAAUGUAUUUUAUUUAUUUAUUUUUAUUUCUUAAAAAAAUUAGUAAAAUUUGAAGUAAACACAAUCUCGAUCUAGUUUCAAGUAAUGAAAAAAAAAGUAAAGGGAAAAAAGUAAUCAUGAAAAAUCAAUGAUCAUUUCCAUUGCUUAGACCAAUGAUUCGAUUUAGUUUUCGAUCCUACAACUAACUGGUUUGGUCCCUGAUUCCUAUUUUUGGAAAUUGGACUGAACUAAUUGGAUCAGGAACCGAUCACCCCGACUUCCACAAGAGUACAGUUUCAUAAUAUCGAUUUCCUGUUAGAAACACUUCCCGCCCAAUCUGCAUCUACAAAACCUUCAAUUUCAAGAUGAGCAUUCCUUGAAAAGAAAAGUCUUUCCUUGGAGCAAACUUCAAGUAGCGAAAGAUUUGAACCACAACAGCCAUAUGAUCUUCAUUAGGUUCAUGCAUAAAUUGACUAACAAUGCUUAUAGCAUAUGUAAUAUUUGGGCAAGUAUGGGACAAAUAGAUUAACUUGCCCACUAACCUUUGAUAUCUCUCCUUAUCGAUUGGUACCUGAUUUAAAUAUUACCCAAGUCCGUGAUUCUGAACAAUUGAAGUAUUAGUUGGCUUACAAUCUAGCAUUGCCACCUAUAUCAAUAGAUCCAGUACAUAUUUCAUUUGAGACUACUUCAAUUCCUAAGAAAAACUUGAGUCUCCUAAGAUUCUUCAUUUCAAACUCCGUCAUAAGAGCAGCGUCAUUGACCUGGCAUGUGAGCAAUAGCCAUGGUAGACCAAAUUGAAUUGGCGACCCUACAUGGGCGCGAUGAGCCUCCCUCUAUAGCAGCAAUCCUUGAUGAUUUGACAAUGAAGAUGCAAUAGAUUUUGACCCAGAAUCAUACCAUAAGUCUUCCACAACCCAGAUCACCACCAAGUUGGGCAACACUAGCUAUGGACUUCAGUUCUAAGUUGUUGAGAUGUAUACCUCUAGAAAAGACAAAUUGUGAUGUAUUAAUGGGGACCUUCCACAACCCCAAUUGAUAGACCCAAGCUUUAGAAAGUGGAAAAAUGAAGAUUCAAUAGUGAAAGUAUGGUUAAUUAAUUCCAUUGAUCCAACCUUAAUAGGUAACUUUAUCAAGUCCCCAACUACAAAGACGAUAUGGGAUUCGGUUGCUAUUACUUUUUUGAUGGAAUUGAUACUUCUCAAGUUUAUGAUUUGAAGAGAAAUGUGACCAGAAUGAUAUAGGCUGGGGGGGGGGGGUAAGUACAUUAUCAAUGUCAAAAGUUGUAUACGGCGCUCACUUUGGUGCAAAAGUUUCCGUUAGAUCACUUAAGUACCAAAUCGGAGAAAAAACGAUCACUUCGGUGCCACCGGCAAGAGAUUCUGGCCCAGAUUAAUUACGUGGCUUUUAUAUUUUUUUUAAAAAUAAGUUGCAGUGGCUUUAAAACGAUGUCGUUUUCCAUCCUCCUCAAGAAACGAUGUCGUUUUGCCGUCAUAUGUGGACAUCCUCAUAGAAAUGACGCCGUAUAGCUCAUAUGGGGAUUGAAAUUAGGGUUUGUUUGUUGUUCACCGCUCGGCCACUGUCGUUCGCCCACCAUCACUUGGCCACCGUCACUCGGCCACCAUUGUAGUUGCUCGACCAAGUUAGCGGGGAGAGACUAAGAUUGUUGCUCAAGCAAUAAGUGGCGGGAAGAAUAGGAGGCGAGGGUGGAGGAGGAGGAGGAAGAAGAGCGAUCGAAGGUGCCGCCGCUGGUGCGCUACUGCUGUUGCUAGUGUCAUUGCUGGUGCUAUUGCUGGUGCAUUGCUGCUGGUGCUGUUGGUGCGCUACUGUUGCUAGUGCGUUGUUGUUCUUCGAGGAAGAAGAAGACGACAUGCUUCUCUCUCUCUCUCUCUCUCUCUCAAUUUGAGGAUUUAGGGUUCUAAGUUAAGGGAAAUAUGCCAAACGACGUCAUUUUGUUGUUUGGAUGUUGAUUGUAAUCUCCAACGAGCCGCGUCAGCUUCAAAAAUUAAUAAAAAAGUGCCACGUCAGAUUUCCGGCCAUUUUGAUCGGCGUUGGCACUAAAAUGAUCAUUCUUCAAAUUUGUUGGCAUUUAAGUGAUCCAAAAUAAACUUUUGGCACCAAAGUGAGCGUCGUACACAACUUUUGGCACUGAUAGUAUACUUACCCCGACAGGUUGGAGGAGCCAUUGAAACUUACUACAAUGGUCUUCAAGGCUUGUGGUGGGAGAUGGAUUUCCACCACCCAAAUCCGAUUGUAUAUCCUAUUAAUAUAGAGAGAUGCAAGUCAGCUAUAUAAGAAGAUAGAGUGUAUCUUUUCCUUGAUGGAUUGGAUGAUCGCUUGGAUAAAGUCCGAGUUGAUGUGCUCCAAAUGCAACCAUUCCCCACAAUUGAGCAAGCUUAUGCUAAUGUUUGACGGGAAGAUGUACGACAAACGAUGAUGUUGACGAGCAUAGACACCACACACACACACACGCCAUUGUCAUGGCGUUGAGGGGGAUUAAGAUAGAACCCAGGAGGUGCCAAUGCUAUGAAUGUCCAAGAUGGUUGUCUCUACAAGUGGUGGAAAGAAUAGUACUAUCCCAAGGCAGAAAUCUCAAACAAUUAGUCAAUGCACUCACCAUGGUAACAUGAAACAUAGUCAUGAGACGUGCUUUAAGUUAUAUGGGUAUCUAGAUUGGCGUAAAGAACUCAAGGCACGAAAAUAGGUUAAAGGUGAGGCAAAUGGAAAAAAAGGAAAUAACCUACAUAUAUAUACACUAAUGAUAUUCUCUAACAAGGAAACCUCUGAUCUCCAUAUAUAUAUAUAUAUAUAUAUAUAUAUUUUUUAAUCACUACCCUCAAGCUAGAGCAUCCAACUUGCAUAUGAUUAGUGCAAAUUACUUUGAAAUUUUGUGAGCAAGUGCCUUAUAAGCCAGACCUUACACUAAACAAAUCGGAUUUGAUAAGCGCUAAAGCAACACAUGCUUAGAAAGUUGACAUAUUUUUCUCAUACAAACUUGAUAGAAUCGUGUGGAACCCAACUUGAAUCGUAGCAAACUAAACUACAUCACCCUACAAUGCUCAUCCUCGGCUACUUGAUGAAGUUUGUUCAACUACAACUCUCAUAGCUACUUGGAUACUUGAUGACAUCACUCCAUGGCGCUCAUCCUUGGCUACCCAACGAAGGUAUGCUUGACUCCGGUGCUCACAGCUAUCUAGAUAUUUGACAGUGACUUCACCUGUUGAUGUUACUCACAAUUAGAAGAGAGUACCCCAAUGGAUAAUGUCCAUAGUAGCAUUGUUGAGUGUUGACAAUAUGAGGAAGUUACUGAAGAUGAGACAACUAAAGAUAGCAUAAAGGAAGAAAAGCUGAGGUUCGAUUUAAUUCCUUCUCUCUUGGUGGCUAUGAUACCAUGAAGAAAAGGAAAGACUUGGAGAAGAAGAAUUCUUUUCCAGUAUACUUUCAUAUCUCUUCCUAAUGAAAAAAAAAACAUAUAAUUUAUCGCAUAUAUAAUAAGAGAACCCUAUUUUAAGCUAAUAUUAAGAUUCAGUUUAAAUCAAGAAGCAUAACAGAUAACAAAUUAGUAUAAAAACUUCUUGAUUUAAUUUUAAUUUAAAAAUCACACCAAUAAUCAUGUCGUCUAAAAAAAAGUAGAUAAAUUCCACCUAUUUCCAUGAUAUUAUUAGGUUCACCACAUAGAAUAAUAUUGUCCAUAUAUUUGUAUGUGGUAUGGUUGUCUAUGUGCCUCACGAAGGUGGUUGGUACUACCAAUAGCUCGUUAUGCCUCAACUGCCGCACGUCCAUGGAUUAGUAACAGUAGCAAUGAAGUUGCAUGUAUUUCCUUGUUAAGUUAUAUACUUUGUAUUUUUCUUGAGUGAUUCUUUGAACCCAAUUAAUCACAAUGUUGAAUCGUGGGGGACCAUAUAAGCACCACAUGUGAUUUAACGGAUGUAGUGAUUCAUAUGAGAAAUCCUUAUAAUGUAACAAUCAUAGUACAUCUAGCACAUACGAAUCUAAUAUGUUCAGUUUUGGUCGAUACUUGAUGUGGGUCCAUUUGCCACGUGGAAAGGUUCUGUGAAGUCAAAAGAAGUCUAUAAUAUAAUUAGAAUAACCAGCCCAAAUAUAAAUCGCCCGCUUAUAACUCAAUCUUGUAGUUUAUCUUUUUGUGCCACCUUUGUCGGGUGCCUUGCCUAAUUUAAGAUUACAGUCCCAAGUGACAUACGCAGUGACGUCAUAUUAAAGUAAUUUAAUAAUUUGAAUGUGCUUUAUAGUCCAGACACAAUCCCCAAACUGAAGCCGUAGAAAGUGUGAUUGCCAAUACACUCCUUUUAUUUCUCGCCCAUGUGAGCGUAAGUUAAACCUACCUAUUUCACCGCCGUUAACAGAGGAUGAAGAAAAUGGCACCUUGCUGACUUCAGUACACUAGCUAAUAUUGUUUAUUAUAGUCUUAGGAGGUGCAAUCUGUAGGAUGAUUAAAUAGAGUAGUUUACUCUUUCUAUGUCAAGUGAUUUUUGCUCGUAACAUAAGAACACUAACAUCGAUUAUGUGUAUAAGUCUUAGUUUUAAAUUGUUGAAAUCCAGGUUGUCGCAAUUUUUCUCGAGAUGAACCAUCAAGGGAAAGUUAAUGAAUUAAUAAGUAUGCAUGAACGGUUGCUCAUUAAAAAGAUAGUGCAAUUGCCUAGUGCAAACUUCCCCAAACCCAUGCCAAUGACAACUUGAAUUUUAAUUUAAACACGUAAUAUAUCUUACUUUUUAGAGCUGUCACUACUUAUGGGUUGAUUAGAGAGUAUGCCUUACUUUUGUGAAACAGAGAUUCUAAAUAUGUGUCACAACCUCCCUUUCGAGCCCCCUUACUUGCGAGCAUGGCAGAGGCUAAUGGCUUGCUAAGUAUUAGGCUUAGUACAGGCUCCUUCAAGCCCAUCAAUUCACGACUUAUAGUUCGAGUAUUUAACUUGCAAGUCAAUUUCAAAUAUGAGUCGUCACUAAUCGAUUUGGGGUAGGCCGAUUAGAGACUCAAGUGAAAGAUUUGAAGAAAUACUUCACUCCUUCGCAAUUAGAGAAAUUAUGAUCAAUGACUUGGUUACACUAGUUAAUCACUAAUACUUUUUCGAUACCUAAUCUUGUUUAAAUAUCAAGUAAAGCAUUUGUGUAGCAUUUUUAUACCAAUCAUGAAUUCUAGAAUUCAAUUCUUCACCAAAGUAAGGAAAUAGAAAUCCAUGCAUCAUAAGAGCGUAAUUAGAAUAAGUCAAUAUUUACUUCCAAGAACUUAAACAUGAUUCUUUUUCUUUUUUUAGGUUUUUCGAUGCAUUUAUGGAGGAAACUAACCAAAAACUAUUUUUUAGACCUUUUCUGAUUUUUUUGGAAAACAUAAAUCAUUUUUGGAUUUUUUUUAUUUAAAAAAAAUAAUUUUUUUCAGAUUUUAAAUUAAAAUAACAAUAAAACAAAAGUUGACCUGGUGGGUGAAACCCACGAGCCGGCCCGACCGGGAUCCGGCCCGAUCAACUCGGGUCGCACCUCCGGGGGCUAGACGCGAGGUCCCCCUGUCUCCUAUUUUCCUUUACUCUUUUAUCCCUUUCCUUGAUCAUUUCCUUUUAUCUCUCUCUCUUCCUUGUCUUGUCUUUUCUUCUCUCUUCACACGUCAGACUAGUGAGAGAGAGAGAGAGAGAGAGAGAGAGACCCAUUUUGUCUUUACUCUUUUUUGACUUUUCUUUCUUCUCUCUUUGUUUCUCUCUGUUGGGAAUGAUUGAUCCCCGAAAACCGGAUUCGACACUAAAUCGAACCCCUAAAUCAAUGCGGAAGACGAAGCCCGGGAAAAACACGUAUCACCGAUCGUAAAGCACACCACGGAUUCGAGCGUACCUUGUUAGCCACAGAUUAGACACCAAUGCCGAUAGAGGAAGAGCAAUUUGUCCUUUGUUCGAUCCGAUGACGCUUGAAGGGGAGAAAACAGUGGCCUUGUGCUUACUGUCCUUUUUCUUUUGUUGGAGAGAGAGCGAGGGAGAGAACGUACGUAUGUUCUGAUUCCAAGAGUUAUCUUCUCUCUCUCUCUCUCUCCUCCCUUUUAUAGCUUCCCCCUCCACGGGCCCUAAUCCCGUGGGCCGGGCCUUUUGGGCCGAGCAUGGGCGGACGGGCCUUGAGCCCAAUACAUAUAAAACCAUCAUCUCCCACUCGCACAUGGUGGGCUGAACAUGAUUCUCUUUACCUCUCUUCAACAUUCAUACCGAUGAAUAAUCCGUGCGACCAGCAUACUUUGAGAGCUCGUUGCUAUACAUCUGUUAGGAAUAUAUAGCAGCUCAUAAUGGGCAUCACACUCCGAGUAGAUUUAGUAUGUAAUACCCUAGAUCGAUUGAUCACAUUUAUAUCUCUCUUGAUCUCUUUUCAAACGAUGAUAUAUAUAUAUAUAUAUAUAUAUAUAUUGUAUUCACAAUUAUGAUUAUCACAAAGACAAUCAUAAUUGGUUAACCGGUGAAUACAAAACUACAAUGUGAUUCUCCAAAAUCAAUCUUCCUCUUUCCUUCAAACUCUCAAUUUCAGUUCAGCUUGCUUUUCUAGAAAUGCCCCAUUAGAUCGAAUCAAACUCAUGACCAUUGGCAACAUCCUAAGAUAGCAAACAUUAAAUAGAAAUCUUGAGAAUAAGUAAGAGUCAUGAGGGGACUAAAAAAUUGAGGAACUCUUUUCCUCAAGAGUCUCACACGACAUAAAAAAGUUGAGAUCAAACUUUUGCCACUCUUAUUGGUCGUCUCAUGCAUACGUAGUAUGAAAUACGUAUUACGGUAUCAACUCCUUUCCCAUGGAGCGUAUGUCUACACCUUUCAAUACCGUACAGAUGAUAGUUCAGACAUACCCAAUGUCUAACUUGAGUUCACGUAUCUACUCAUUCACUAAAUUCAUCAGAACUCACAUCUAGCAUCAUAUACAGAUAAAGUAAAAUAUGUGGGGUAUUUUACUCUCGGACAUAGUAAGUAUUAUGUCCUCAUCUUAACACCCAGUUAAGGCAACAUACGUGUUUUAAGCUUGAGCUCUCGAUUAUCACCUAGAUAAUAAGCUUAAAAACAGUCUCAUCUCUAUUUAUCACACAGUAAAUAGAGGCGAUUACCCGUGUGAGUGGGCUAAUCUCAUAUCUGUUCGACAUACUUUCCUAACUUAAAGUAAUGCACUGAGCAUUAAGAUGCAUAAAGAUCAAACAAAGAUUCAUAGGCAUUAAUGAUGAAAAACAUAAAUUCAUCAUAUGUGAACACUUAGGGAAAAUUAUAAUAUUCAGUACAUUAGCCUCUACGCAGUCCUAGAGAUUUCAUAUGGCCACAAAACACAUCUCUAGGUACUGGCUUUGUCAUAGGAUCUGCUACCAUUCUAUGCGUAGUAUGUACUCUAAGUUCACAUCUUUUUGUGCAAUCAUAUCCAUGACAAAAUUAUACUUGGUAUCUAUAUGUUUGGUCUUGUCAUGAUAUUUUGGAUCUUUGGUGUACGCUUUUGCUGCUUGGCUAUCAUAAUUAACUAACAAUUAAUCUGCAGCACUUCCAAUAACACCUAAAUGAUCCAAAAAAUCUCUUAAGCCAAACAUCUUCUUAUACUGCUGCUGAUAAUGCCACGAACUCAAUUCCCAUCGUGGACAAGGCUAUACACUUUUGUUUCUUACUGCUCCAACACAUGGUGCCAUUAUUCGGUAAGAAAACAAACCUAGAGGUAGAUUUCCUUUUAUUUAAAUCUCCUCCCCAAUCAUCAUCAGAAUAGCCUUAGAGUCGCAGAUCCUUUCCAUAAUAACUCAGCGUAUAAUCAGCAGUCCCCUUUAGAUACCUUAGUAUUCUUUUAACGGCUUUCCAACAUGCUUGACCUGGAUUGGAUUGGUAUCUGCUCACCAUUCCAACUACAUAACAUAUGUCAGGUCUUGUACACAUCAUAGCAUACAUCAAGCUCCCAACAGCACUAGCAUAAGGAACAUGUUUCAUUUGUUCCUUCUCUUGUGGAGUCCUUGGACACAAUCUAUGGCUCAAUCCUUCACCUUUUGCAAUAGGAGUGUUUAUGGGUUUACAAUCCCAUAUCAUUCAUCUCAAAAUUGGAAGACAACCAACUUUUGACAGUAUGAACAAACUCCAUAUUACUUUCGGCAAUUAGUAUAUCAUCAACAUAUAAUGAUAUGAUCACAAAUUGAUCCUUGGAUCUUUUGAUAUAUAUACAAUGAUCCUCAUCUAUCAUUGUAAGAUCAUAUGCUAUUAUGGCAUUACGAAAACGUAUAUAUCAUUGUCAUGACGACUGCUUAAGGCCAUAUAUCGACCCCCAAAGUCAACAUACCUUUUCUUCUUGGCCUUUCACUAUGAAACCAACAGGUUGUUCCAUAUUUAUUUAUUCCUCUAAUUCUCCAUUGAGGAAAGCAGUCUUUACAUCCAUUUGAUGUAACUUAAGAUCCAUACUAGCCACUAUUGCCAGAAUAAUGCGAAUCGAGAUAAAUCCCUCUACAGGAGAAAAUGUAUCUUCAUAAUCAAUUCAUUCCUGUUGAUUAUACCCCUUCGCCACAAGGUGAGCCUUAUGCUUUCUAUCGAGCCAUCAGCCUUUCGCUUUAUUUUGAGAACCCACUUGUUCCCAAUAGCUCUGCGUCCCUUUUGGAAGAUCAACCAGUUCCCAGACUUGGUUUGACUUCAUUAACUCCAUCUCCUCUUUUAUUGCAUAAAUCCAUUUUUCCUUACUAGGGCGUUUAAGAGCCUCAUUAAUAUUUCUUGGCUCAUACUCAUCUUGUGGAGCAACCAUAAAAGUUUCCCUUUCAAUGUCAAAACAUCGACGGGGAAUACUUUGACGACUUGUUCACCGUAUGGGAGAUUGUACACUUAGCACAUCAUUCCCCAUUAUGCUCCCACUUGGAUUAGGUAAUGAUGAUGUCGUCACAUCAGGUGGUUGCAAUUGAGAAUGAGUUGAAUUCAAUUCAUCACAUCUCAUAUUACUCCCACUUGGACGAACUCAACCAAUAUCAUUAUCUAGAUCCAAGGUUUCAAAUAGGAAGUAAUCUUUCCCUAUUUCGCCCUUCUUAAGAAAUUCAUCCACUAAGAAUGUGACAUCCUGUGAUUCAAAUUCAGUUAUUCUCCCACUUUCCUGCUCACCUACGAACACAUACCAUUUUGAGUGUUCGGAGUAUCUCAUUAAAAUACUCUUAUUUCCUUUAGGACUCAAUUUCCCAAACUUGUGAGAGAACUCAUGAGUAUAGACAGCAUAACCCCAUGGCUUAAGUAAACUUAAGUCCGGUUUUCUACCUAUCCAUAACUCAUAUGGAGUGGAACUAACUGAUUUGGAAGGCACCCGGUUAAGUAUUUAGGCAGCAGUUAACAACGCAUCACUCCAAAAAGUGAUAUGUAAGUUAGCAUACGCCAUCAUGGACCUAACCAUUUCUAGUAGGGUUCUGUUUCUUCUCUCUGCAACACCAUUUUGUUGAGGAGUAUAUGGAAUAGACAACUAUCUUUCUAUUCCUUUUUCAUCACAUAAUUUUCUAAACUUAUCAGAUAAAUAUUCUCAACAUCGAUCGGAUCUAAAUACCUUUAUUUUCUUGUCUAAUUGAUUUUCUGUUAGGUUCAUAAACCUUCUGAAACAACUUAUGCUUCAGAUUCAUGAGAAAUCAAAUAGACACAUCCGAAUCGAGUAUAAUCAUAUAUUAAAAGUGAUGAAGUAAACAGUCCCAUGCCUUUCUCUCACAUUCAUUGAACCACAAACGUCAUAAUGGAUUAAAUGCAGAGGAACAUUAGCUCUUUUACUUUUUCCAAAUGGUUUCCUUGUCGUUUUCCCUUCUAGGCAAUGCUUACAUAUGGACAAAUCGACUUAUUCAAUAUUGCCCAACAAGCCAUCUUUGGCUAGUCUAUUCAUAUGUUGUUGGCCAAUAUGACCAAGUCUAGCAUGCCACACAUUCACAUCAUUAUCACAUGAAGUAAAAGACGUGAAACAAGGGAAUAACAUAUUGACAUCACCACAGUCAACAUUCAGUACAAUAAAACCAUCCAGAAAGUGACCACAACCAUAGUAGUUUGUAUCCAAAUACAAAUCUACACAGUUAUUACGGAAGUUCACACUAAAACCAAGCUUAACCAACAUCAAAACAGACAAUUAAAUUUCGACGAAUCUCCAGAGCAUUUAGAACAUCAUGUAGGAACAAGUUGCGUCCACCACACAUGUUCAGUUGGCAGGUGCCAAUCCUUUUAACUUCAGCUCUGGAGUUGUUUUCCACAUAGAUCCACUCAGUUCUAGUUGGUAUUCGUCGGAAUUCCACGAAGGAUCCUUUAUCCUUCGCUACAUCGUCUGUUGCUCCUGAAUCUACAGUCCACAAAGGAUUGGAUUCGGCCAAUAAUUCAGAACUUGACACAUAAUCAAAGUUCUCAAAUGUACAAGAGGUGUUUACUUUCUUUGGCUCACAACAGUCGCGAGCAUAGUGACCCUUCUUGUCACAAUUGUAACACCUCACCCUUGACAUUUUCUUCACUUGAGGACAUUUUCCUCUCUUGUGUUGGUUAAGUCUUGAUUUCUUGCAAUAAGGACUUGAUCCUUUGCAUUCCCACAUAUUGAACGAAUCAAUACGCUUGCGCUUAGAGCACAGAGCCCUUUCUGAGCUAGAACCAGCAUUGCAAAUAUCUAUUUUCUGUUCAAAUGCUGUUAGUCGGUCCUCAGCUAGCUCAAAGUGGCGCACAUCAUUUAUAAGAUCUUCCAUAACAUGGUCAAGAGCUUCUAGUGCUUCUUGCUUUUUCAGCACAUAUUGAAUCUUCAUAUUCAAUAUUUCACAAUUGUUGCCGUUCAUAUCAACAAUUACAUUCUUAGUUGCUGAAACCAUCGAUAUGAACAAAUCAGACAUAUAUGCACGAAUAAUUAAUGCCUAUCAUUUAUGCAUCCACUUUUACAUAGACCCAUCAUAUUAAUGAAUAAUUUCAAGUAAGGCUUCAGAAUCAAAAGGUCACUAUGUUUCCAAUCAUCCUCCAAAAAUCCUAACUUAAAACUAUCAUUAAUAUGAUUGUCAUAUGCAAAAUCAAUUCUAUGAAGCUACAAAAACUUCUAACACUACCCACAGCUAAUUACCCACAGCAACCAGCAAUAACAGAAAGCAAAUAAAAUCUAAUAUCCAAUAAUAUAACAAUGCUUUCAUAUGAUACAACUAACAUAUCAGUUGCUAUAUCAACAACAAUCAGGUAGUAAACAUUGCAUAAUUAAUCAAAGAAAUAAAUAGGGAAUGUCCCUUCUAAUCUAUCAAUCAAAACAUCUGAGAAAACUGAAGGCACAUUUGCCAACUAUGGAAAAUUUUUUGGAGAGCAUUCAUGUCGCCACCAAGGCGCAUUCACUCUACGCCAUGUGGCGCUCAAUCUAAGGGUUGAAGUUUUGGCCAACUCAAUCCUAUAGUACUCUCUUACAAAAGCUUCCACUAGCCCCCUGUAAUCCGGGACCACGUUGACCUCCCAUAGCCGAUCUAACACUGCUUGCCAUUCAGGUGGAAGAGUGUUCAUCAAAGCCGGCACCUUCUCAAAAUCCGGCAUAAGAUAACCAUUCCAGAUGAUUUCCUGUAUCAUCUGAUUCACCUUGACCAUGUGUGAUACUAAAUCACCAUCAAGCCACCGAUAAUCAGCUAACUCUUUCAUCAGCCUUUUCAGUCUAGCUCUUCCUUCGUCCGUUCUUGGGAUUGCAGGUAUCCGUGCAUAACGCAUCAUAGUUCCUGCAACAAAUGCAGAACUAAAAUGGAUCACUUAUAAUCCAUAAUAAACAAAUGGAAAAUACAUAAUUUUCCAUGAUUCAUGCAACAAAUGCAGAAUGAAAAAUGGAUUACCUACAACCCACACAGACAUAAUUGAAAAAGAAACAAAUUCUUUUUUUUUUCUUCUUUUUUUUUUCGGGUCAACGGUCAACGGUCGGUCACGGUCAACCGUCGGUCAACGAUCGGUCAACGGGUCAACGGUCGCUGGUCGCCGGACGAACCGGGCGGACCGGACAGACUGGUCAGGCCGGUUCGGGCGAACCGGACAGACCGGUCAGGCCGGUUCGGGCGAACCGUCCGCACGUGCCGCGCGCGUGCGCGAGAUGACGUCACGAAGACGUCACUCGGCACGUGCCGCGCGCGUGCCGGGCGUCGCGGUUCAGGUCGGGUCGUCGUCGGGUCGGGUCGUCGGCUGGUGACCGCCCGGCGAAACGUUGUCGGCGAUGACGUCAUCGAUGACGUCAUCCGAGCGGUUACCGACCGUUGGAUGAUGUCACGGUGAUGUCAUCACGUGACGUCAGCACAUGUCGUUCCGCGGACCGGCGCGUGCCGUUUCGCCGGUCGCCGGCCCGCACGUGCCGGUUCGUCACCGGCGCGUGUGGCGCACGCGCUGGCCAUUGCCAGUGCUUCGGGCACGUGGCUCCCACGUGCAGGGGCUUGUGGCCGCGCGUGUGGGCGCAUGCGGCGUCGUCCGGCAACGCACAACAUGUCGCCGGACUUGUCUCGACGACCUCUUUCACCCCGUGCUUUCAGAAUUCAAUUUCGACUUACGAAAACUCAGAAAAAUGGCCAAACAGCGCUCGGGUGUCUGGAUUUUUCGCCCCGAUCCGUACGGCCGAAGUUCUUUCGCGAAAAAUCAAUCAAAAACUUCAAAUUGAUCGGGAAAAACUUUAACUAGGGCUCUGAUACCAAUGUUGGGAAUGAUUGAUCCCCGAAAACCGGAUUCGACACUAAAUCGAACCCCUAAAUCAAUGCGGAAGACGAAGCCCGGGAAAAACACGUAUCACCGAUCGUAAAGCACACCACGUAUUCGAGCGUAUCUUGUUAGUCACAGAUUAUACACCAAUGCCGAUAGAGGAAGAGCAAUUUGUCCUUUGUUCGAUUCGAUGACGCUUGAAGGGGAGAAAACAGUGGCCUUGUGCUUACUGUCCUUUUUCUUUUGUUGGAGAGAGAGCGAGGGAGAGAACGUACGUACGUUCUGAUUCCAAGAGUUAUCUUCUCUCUCUCUCUCUCCUCCCUUUUAUAGCUUCCCCCUCCACGGGCCCUAUUCCCGUGGGCCGGGCCUUUUGGGCCGAGCAUGGGCGGACGGGCCUUGAGCCCAAUACAUAUAAAACCAUCACUCUCCUCUCUCUAUCUUAUGUCUUUCGGGUCUCUCCUUCACUUUGCACGAAAUGGCUGAAACACUGCCGACCUCACCUUUCCCAAUGAUCGCCAGCUCAAACGUAAAAAUAAGACUUAGACUUAACUAACUAGAAAAAGGAAACAAAAAAGAAAGGCACAAGAACGAGGGAGUCGCGCCCAGCUACCACCGCCACUCUCCAACCUCGCCGGGCAAGAAUCAAUCGCUUGUAAAACCAGGAUGCAUGCUGAUAAUAACCAUGAAACGAGGUAGACCGAGCAAAAGAUGUCAGUGGAAAUCUACAAAAACGUAUUCGACAAACCAUGAACACCAAGAAUGAAUGCAUAUAUCUCAACCAGGCAUUUCAACAAGCACAUAGGGUGCAUCGGUAAGGGAGUUAGAGAUGAGGAUAACGCGCUUGGUAUCAAGCCGUGAUUGAAAGCCAACGACACCCAAAACUUUGCGAUCGCAGUUCGCACCUAAAAGAGGUUGGAGACUGACCCGACCCGAAGGAUGGCAGCUCAACCGAUGGGCCCGAAACAGAGUACGAAACAAGGUACUACAGGUGUUCGGUUGAAGGAGCCCUACCCGGCUUGACGGUAUCAGACAGCGAACGAGCUCGACAGAUCAGGCUACAUUUGCUCGCCUCACUUGUCUCCAAGUCGGGUCCCUUGAGAAAUCGACCCUAAACCCAUAAAAAAGAUAAACCCAAACGGAACCUACCACGGCUUUGAUGCGAACAAAGCAUGAUGACGGCCGAUGACUGUCCCCUUUAUUCCACCCUUACUCGCGACUCUCAGCUCACCCUCACGGUCUCUCAAGUAUUUCUCACCCUUUCCACCUCUCCUCAAAUCUGGCCUUUCUCUCUCAGCAAGUAAUUUCAAGAAUUAUUAAUAUGCAUCAUUGCUCACGAAAAUCAUGCAACAUCAUCCAAGAUGCAAUAAUUAUUAAAUUUUGACAUUGUGGUGUAGAGAUAAUAGUCUUGAUUAAUCCUAAAUGCAAAUUACUGUAUGUAAUGCACGAAUAAAAAAAUUUGAUGUUGGACCUUAAGUUUCAAAGGUCUGAUGCCCCAAUACGCCUUGUUAAUGCAAGGAAUAAUGCAAAAGGAAUUAAAAUAUCCUAAGGUUCACGUGACAUCUUGUAGGGGUGAGCAUUGGUUCAAGGUCAACCCUGGACCGACCUUGGACCGGCCCAACCCUGCCGGUCCUGAUCCGGUUCCUAGGGAGACUAGGUCGGUCCUUGAUCCUAGAAUUUUUAGACCAACACUAUGCGGGUCAGUCCUUGGUCCUGAGAGUUCUAGGUCGGUCUAACCUGGACCAACCCUAACUAUAUAUAUAAUAUUAUUUAUAAUUUUUUAUAUAUAAAAAACCUUAAAAUAAAUAGUGUUAACAACAUUAAAUAGCUAUUUAGUGAGGAAUUCAAGUAAUUUUAUAUUAUUCUUUAAUAACUUAGAUUUUAGAUGUCCUUUACAAUGUCAAUAGUCAUAAUUUACGAAGAAUGAAAAUGUUUUUGUGAGGAGUCAUCUCAGCGUCCAAAAAGGCAUAAACAGCUCAUUAUAGCAUCUUUUCUAAUAUUCAUUAUCUUUUGUCUUAUUUGUCCUCUUAGUCUUUAAUUUGCCAAAAUUGAAAGAAAUAACUUCUCCGCUCGCUACUCAACACUCGCCUCGCUCACUUUGGGUCAUUCGUGCCGCUCGAUGCUCGCUUGGCUUGUUACUCCUCGCUCAACAUUCAAUGCUCAUUCUGUUCGAUGCUCACUCCACCUAACCCUCACCGCUUGCCUUUCUUAGCUGACCUCGCUCGUCAUCGAAUCCAUUGGCUCGGUACAGUUCUUGGUUGCCCUUUCAAGAAGUACAAAAAAUGAAAUAAAAAAUUAUUGGUUAGUCUUGGGUUGAUCUAGAAACUGGACCGAACCCAUUGGGUCAAUUCGGUCCUCAAUAAAUUUUAUAAGGAGUACAAAAAAUGAAAUAAAAUUUAUCAGUUGGUUCCGGGUUGACCCUGGAACUGGACCAAACCCAUUGGGUCGGUCUGGUCCUCGGUCCUAAGCUCAAUAGGGUCAGUUCUCAGUCUCAAAAAUUGAGGACCAUUACUGUCUGGUUAGUCCUAGGGUUAAGGGGUGGGCCGACCCAACCCGGACCAUACUCACCCUUAACAUCUUGGAUUAUUACGUUAACUUUGGAGUUCUGAAGCAAAGCAUUGGCACUAUAUCUAGAGGCGCCUCUGUGAGUUAAUUCAAGUUUUCACAUAUUUAUAUAAGAAUUGAUCUCUCCCUAUUCGAUGCAUAAUUUGGUUCAUUUCUACCCCAUUCACCAUUCUAAAAGCCUACUAGGAGUAACUCCUUAUCCACGCUCUCUAGCCCCGGCGACCACUCCUCCCGCUAGUCAGACUAGGUCAUUAUAGACCCACUAGCUUCCUCGUGGUUCGUUUUGAAUCACCCACUUACUAGAGAGGGUCCCUCUUUGAUACGAUGUUGUGACAUCCUCAAUUAACUCACCUGAUAUUUUGUCCACUUCAACUCUUCCUAUACCAAACCUCAUGGUUUUGUCCUUUUGUGCACAAGUGGGUAAUUUCCUAGAAAGUCACUCAUCCCGGUAGUGUUCCCACCCAAGCACACUUAAUUUCGAAGUUUCAAAGCAAAGCCUUACCAUUCCGUCAAAUUGACGUUUCAAUGAUAUAAUUCCAAUUUUCACAUAUACAUCUAUAAAUCAUUCUCUCCUUUUUCAGCGCGCAAUUUGGUUUAUUCUUGCCCCCUCAACAUUUUAAAAGCUUUCUAGGAGCCGCUCAUUGUCGAGACCUUCUAGUCUCAACGACUUUUCCCCCCUCUCUUUAAGCCGGAUUGUUACAAUUCAAUAACUAUAGGUUAGACAAUCAAAUCAUGGCCUAAAAUAAAAUCCAACCUAUUAUUUAUGCAAUUACUAAACUAACCUUAAUCAGGACUAACCUAGGGAACCAAGAGACUUAUGGCACAACACAAGGUGCAAAGGAAAGAGCCACCAGUAGGGAUUUUAAAGACCGGCAAUGGACGACGGUCUGCGGUGCCUGGGCAGUGACGUGAGGAGCUAUUGGACGUCUCCAAGAGGGUACAGGGCUGUUAGAGGAUUUAGACGCCAAAGGUUCCAGCGGUGCUUGGGCUAAUGCGGCCAGCAGGCAAAGCUCUAGAGGGAUCCAAAAGACGCCUAGAUGCUGCUGGAGGGGUAUCGUCGGAAUGCCAAGAGAAGGAGGAGCACCGGUGUCAUAAAGAAUUUUCAGUGAAGAAUUUUCUUUCUUGCCUUUAUUUCUUUUUAAUCAUUUAGUUUCGGACUCUUAGGCAAACUUUAAAAAUAAAUAAAUAAAAAGAACAUAAAGUGUCAUAAAGAUGACUCGAAAUUUCACUAUGCAAAUUUUUUAUUAAUAAUAUGGCUUCCUGAAACUUUUGACUCCAAUACUCUUCAAAGAAGUGCGCAAACCGCCCUAUUUAGAUAUCCAUGUCCACCAUAAAAAGCUAACGUGCCUCCUAACUUGCAGAAAAAAAUUACAGAGUUAUUUCACACGAGAGCUAUAAAAAUACCAUAUGUCCUUAUAUAUCAAGACCUUCCUUACACAACCACUCUUUAAAGACAUGAGUUAAUCGUUUGAAAUGAACCUAAUGCUUUACUAUUGAAGAAGUAGUUUGAGCAUUCUGUAUCACAGAUUUCUUCUACAUCAUCUAAUAAGUUGCUAGAGUUGCUAGUUUCCUUGGCAUCCAAUUAUGGUCGAGAGCUAACUAGAACAUGAGCUUUUCAAUUGGUAACUUAUGGUAUGUUUAUAUUGGUUUACUAUUUUUUUUUUAAAUCAAUACUAUGUCUUGAUUAUGUGUGAAUAUAUUCUUUUACAGUAACUCUUCUUAGUAGGCCAUAAGAUGGGUUACGUGGUACUAUAGUUAGAAUCACCUUUUUCACCCUUGACAUAUGAAGCUCCAAUCUUAAUUGUAGAUUUUCUUCUAGGUGACUUUUUUUUUUCCCUAAGGGAUCUCUAUAUUCAUCACAUAAAAUUAGACAUAAAUGAGGAGGCAUUGUGGUCCAAGAACAAUAAUGCCAUUUCCACCUAUGCAAGCCACAAAGGUAGUCGGCACUAUUUCUCUCUACCCCAAUUUCCACUAAGGCUGAUCUUUCCAUAAUAGGUAGGUUUCAAAUCUUGAACCUACCAUGUUAAGUCCGAUUUUUAGUUUUGGAAUUUGGGACCUACCUUGUAAACUAUGAAUCCUAGCGUGUCUGUCGGGUCUAAUUCUAGCGUAUUUUGGGAAAUCGGCCAGGUACUUUUUUUCCCUUUAUUUUUUAUCAUAAACUAUUUUAAAAUAUUUAUGUUCCAAUUUUACUUUAUACUUUAAAAUAAAAAUUGUGUUAUAUUCUCUAUUCAAGAGAGAGGGAGAAUGAGAAGGGAGCUUGUAAUAUGAGAAAUAAGAAAGUAGUAAGGUUUGAGUUUCUAAAUUAGAUUCUAAACCGCCAGUUGUAGAGUAAGUGAGUGGAACCUACUUGCACAAUACCGAUUCCAAAUUUUUGGAAUCAAUGGAACUAGACUAGAAUUGGCCAGCUCAGGCUAGUUCAAUCUAAUUCUACGAUAGACCUGGAAUUAAUAUUUAUCCCUAAUUGCCACACAUGGAUGGAUUGUCAAAGGUUACCAUCAAUUUGUAGUUGUGCAUGCUUAUCGUGGACUGCGACGUGGCACGUGCAACUAUAAUACGAAGUCACAAGAAGUCUACAAAGUGCCACUAGUUAAGUAGUAUGUACCAACCCAAUUUUUAUUCGCCCGGUUAUAACUCAAUAUAGGUUGUCUUUACAAUUUCUUUUUCGUUGUCGGUGCAAGUUGAAGGUCACCACCGUCCUAACUGAUAUCGGCAAUGACGUCAGAUUAGAAAUUAAUUUAGUCGCAUCAUAAUGCCACAUAUACUCAAUUCAAGUUCUUUAAACUUAGAUCUCGAAAAAAUCAAUGAUUGCACUUUAUUUAUUUCUCACCCCCAUGUGGGGUUCUUUUUUAAUCCAUUGCGCUGAUUUUUUUUUUUUUUUUGGAAAUGAAGAAAUGGGUCUUGCUAACUUCGAAAUAGAAAAACCUAUGAUUGUUCGUCUAUAAUACUGGCUUUGCAACGUGCGUAGGUGUUUUAGGAUUCUGUUGUGUCAUGUGAUGUGUUUACUGAUAACAUGGGCACAUUAGUUAUAUAAUAUGAUAUUCACCGUCACGUUUUCAAACUAGCUAGUGAAUCCUAGUGAAGAACUUUUGUUGCGUAAAUACCACGUUGAUGUGACAUUGAUAAAAAUUUCACUUUCAUAACAAUUACAUUUGUUGAGAGUUGUGCAUUACAUGCAUCAACGUGAAGUCAUGACUUUUCUCAAAUUCAUAGUGAUUGGAAAAAUAAUUUACAUGGACACUUUUGAAUAGGCAUGAUAUACGACAAUUUCACACACAAAAAGAUUGGUAAGUGUAAGCAUAAAGCGACGCUCUUCAUGAAAAUUUGUCCACUCAAAUAUGGAUUCGCACAUUGCAAAAUUGGACUAGACAUUCGAUUAGAGAGUAAUAUGGCAAGUGGGGCCCAGUACAGCACCUCACUUUCUUUUUCAGCGUGCCGUCUCAUAUACCCUGUCCGAUUUAUUCAAUCUCAAUGGUCGGAAAGCCCAAGUGGGGCCCUAUCAAAGUCAUGGUCGACCUAAGAAAUUUACUGAAAGAAAAAUCCAAAUACCGAGUGACGUGCUCGCUGACGACGACAAUAAUCUCAAAACCCCUAUAAAUUGAGACGAUCCCUUCACUCCAGUCCCACACCAUCGGCUCUCUCUCACACAUCCUCUUCUCUGAAACUAGUGACACAAUGUCUUCCAGGUACUUGCUAGUUUUUUUCCUGGGAGCGGUGCUUUUCGCCGCUGCCGUCCUCUCCGACGGCCACCACCCUUUCAAAAAAGAGCAUAAACCACACCACAAACACCACCACAAGCACCACCCUGGUGGUCGCGGUCUCUUGGAGACCGUUGAAGCCGAGGACUCGCACAAGCCGUACCCUAAACACAAGCCCCCACACCACAGCCACCCUCAUGAGCACAUUCUUGUCGAGGAGGUGGAAAAUGAAGACUCCCACAAAAAGCCAUUCCCCGGCAAGAAACCGCCCCACCACCCCGGUCACUUGCUUGCAGAGGAAGUGGAAACCGAUAAAAAAAAGAAGCCAUUCCCCGAGCACAAAUCCCCAAAGAAAGGUGACAAGCCACCACCGAAGCACAAGCCGCCCCACGAGGGACACAUUCUCGUAGAGGAGGUGGAAGAGGACUCGAAGAAGCCAUUCCCUGAGCACAAGCCCCCCAAGAAAGGUGAGGAGCCCAAGAAGGGAAAGGGAGAGAAGCCGCCACCAAAGCACAAGCCACCACACGAGGGACACAUUCUCGUAGAGGAGGUGGAAGAGGACUCGAAGAAGCCAUUCCCUGAGCACAAGCCCCCCAAGAAAGGUGAGGAGCCCAAGAAGGGAAAGGGAGAGAAGCCGCCACCAAAGCACAAGCCACCACACGAGGGACACAUUCUCGUAGAGGAGGUGGAAGAGGACUCUAAGAAGCCAUUCCCUGAGCACAAGCCGCCAAAGAAAGGCGAGGAGCCAAAGAAGGGAAAGGGAGAGAAGCCGCCCCCAAAGCACAAGCCACACCACAAGGGACACAUUCUCGUAGAGGAGGUGGAAGAGGACUCAAAGAAGCCAUUUCCUGAGCACAAGCAGCCCAAGAAAGGUGAGGAGCUGAAGAAGGGCAAGGGAGAGAAGCCGCCCCACCACAAGCCACCGCACAAGCCCCCCACCGAGAACUGAGCGUGCGUUCUUCAAUGAACAUAUAUGCCGUGUGCUUAUCACACGUUCAAAUAAGAGCUGUUCCUUAGAGUUCUGGUUCUUCCGCGUUAUCUGGUUGGCUCUUUGUGUUACAUGUAAUAUAGGAUGUUUGUACUUUGCUCGGGCAUUUCCUUUGACGUUCUUGAUAUUGCUAGUAUGAGUACCUAGAGGGGGGUGAAUAGGUGCCUAAACAAUUUAUCGAUAUACGGAAGCGAUUCUUAGCAUUUAAUAGAAAGUAAAUUCUCUCUUAAUUAACAAAAUGAAAUACGAUUGAGGUAGAGAGAGUAAGGAAGAGAAAAUUGAACACAGGAUUUAUAGUGGUUCGGCUUAUUCCAAGCCUACGUCCACUCUUCCGCACUGACAGCCCACCGGCUGGAUUUCACUAUGAUCAAAAGAGAAGUUACAGCACAGCUUUGCCUUGAUUCCACAGUGUAGAUGUUCUACCACACCUCCUCAAGGUCUCUCACAAAUAUAGACUCUCUCUUUCGUAUAUAAGUAUUUGCUCAAAGGAUUUGUCUAAACAAAAAAGAGCUUCAGACUUUGGAAUUCUUCUUUCGCGCACACCUUGAACAGCUAAGACAAUCUUCCUUAUAUACUCCUUUAUGCCAUCAUACCCGUUGGCACUUACCAAAGGAAUUCCUCCAAUCUACCCGUUGGACGGAAUCAAUUAGGAAGAUUGUCCAAGCUAUAAAUGGAACGUGUUGAUAGCCCAUCAAUCCUGUUCGCCCAUACAAUCAGGAUCUCGGUUUCCAUAAGCAGAACCUUCCAAUAAUAUUUAGGCAAUCACUGGAUCUUCAAUUUAUCGAAUCAAUCUUCGAUCAAUCGAAGGACUCCGUUUAUGUCUUCUCCAGCCAUGAGAUCUUCUCCAGUUGAUAAGGUUAAAUUCUCAACAAAACAUCCAGUUCUGGAUAACCUUUCUUCAACGGAUUAGAGACUGUCAAUGAAGAUAGACUUUGAGUCUUGAGUCUGGCUGUCCCAAGGUCUUCAAACUUUAAAUAGCAGAGUCUGCAAGCCUUCAGACUAGACUGAUAGAAACGAUUUGUCAACUUCAAAACACUUCAAGAAGAUUUCUCCAACAAUCUCCCCCUUUUUUAUGGUGACAAAACUAUCCUGCAGAUUUGGAUAUCUUUGACCUGCAAAACAUUUCUCAAACACAUAUGCAUAUCUUAUAGAGGUAAAUGUCUUAACAGAAUAACACUAGAAUCUGCAACCACAGAAAAUAGGUUAGUCCAGUAUAUGAUGAAGCCAUCCAUAAGAUAUCAAUAUUAGUUUAAUAGAAGCAGACAAGUCCAAGUCUAGUUCAGUUCUCAUCCAGACACAAACCAAAGUCAAACAGAUUCAAACCACAAAACAAUCCAACAAAAACAAUUAAAAGUUGAAUGAAAGGUUUUUUGAUCAAAUCUUGCAUCUCUCCCCCUUUUUGUCAUCAUUAAAAAGGAUGAGAUGAAGUUAAGAUUACUUGGGAACGCGGACAAGCUGGAAAUCUUCCAUAGACUGAACGAUGCCUUCCAGCCUUUUAAAGUCUUCCUUUAGCUGUGCAACCUCCUCACUCUUGGCAUUGGCCUGAUUCUGAAUAGAGAGGGCUUGCAUUUUAUCAUUCAAUGAACAGGAAGAAGCUUGACCUUCAUUCUUCAAGCUUUGAACUUCGCAUCCCAAGGCAUAAAUCUGACCUCGCAUCUCCAAAAGAAUAUCCAUGAUUCUGCGAAAAUUUGCUCCAUUAUCAGUUUGAGUACUUGCUUCGGCUCGAUCUGAUGGAGUAAAUGCAGAAGAUGGUAGAUCAGCAUAAUCUUGCAGGUUUGGCGAUGAAACUUCAUGACCUUCUUCUGGAAAUUGAGAUGCAUAAACAUCCUCUGGGUCUGCUGGUGAGCGACUGACUCCUUCACUUGCAUCAGGACAUGAAGACUUCACUCCUUUCUCUUGAUCUCCCCCUGUUUCCAUGCCUACAGGUGGAGAAGAGUGUUCUUCAGGUUCUCCUUCUUCUCUUCUUUCUUCUUCAGGUCUUUCCUCCUCUGUUUCUUUUUCAGCUUCUAUUUCUUCUUCUUCCUUCUCCUCUGCUUCUUUCGUCAUUUGCUCCGAUUCUUUCUGUGGAACAGGACGACUUAAAUUCUUCAAAGCCAAUGCAGAGAUGGUGAUGUCUUCCUCAUCAUCUUCAUCCUCAACAAGGAGAGCUCUUCUUCUCUUGGAUGGAGCAACCAUGGGCUCCUUCCCUUUUCUUUUAGCUGUAGAAGAUAUUUGAUGAGAUUUUGCAGGAGUCUUCUCCUUGAAUUUCUCCAACUCCUUGCUCAGUUCCUUCAAACGCAUUUUGGUCACCAUUUUCAGACCUACCACCAUAUGAUCGCAUGGUCGAACACAAAAGAUUUGUGGAGGUUGAAUAUUCAGAUAUCUGAAUAACUUCGUAACAAGGCUUGGAUAAGGGAGUUGACCUCUGUCCUUCAUCAUUGCUCUAUACAUGUGAAACAUCACAGUGUGAGGGAGAGAAAACCUUUUUCCAAAGAGAAUGGCAUACAUCAACUUGGCCUCUGAACUUGAAACAUCAGUCUUGGAAGUCGAUUUCGGUCGGAUUCAAUUAAUCACAAUCUUGUGAAGCAAGAUGUUGAAUGCACCCAUCCUUAAGUAGGUGAUCUUUUCAUCUGUUCUUCUGUCCUUCACCAGUUCAAGAGUGGCCCGAGCAAUAGAAACUUUGAUUGGCUGAUAUCUUCCUCUUUCGACUUCUAACACAUCUGCUAGCAUAUUCAUAUCCACAACAUAAUCUUGGUCUUUAACGCUGAACGAGAAUCUAUUCGCAUCCAAAAAGCUUAGAUUUGAAUAGAAAUAUGCAGUUAAUUCAACAUAGGCCUCUGUAGAGUCAGAGCAGAACUUUUCAAGUUGAAGAUAACUGAACUUUUCCCUCAAGUUCAUAUUCACAGCAUCCAGAAAAUCAAAAUCUACGCUCCUAGGGUUUAUCACCCCACGCUUCAGCAAUUUAGAGUACAGAUCCUUUUGCUUCUUUGAUCUGAACAAAUCUCCCAUUUUUCCUUGGUUAUCAACCGCAACACCCAUUUUCGGUUGGAAUUGACUGUACAAUUUAUCAUCAUCAUUCCCAUCUACAGGAUUUGGCCCCCAGUCACGAGGAUCACUUGGGAUAUUUGCAAGGGUUUCCUCAGCCACCCCUUUUCGAGCAAUUCCCAAACUUUCCAUUUUUUUUUCAGAAAGAUAUAUUUGUUCCCAUGUCCUUUAUCUUUAAGAAAAUCAUCAAUGUAGUUCAAAGGGGUACGAAUUCCUUUUAGGGCACGAUAUAACUGAUAAAUAUAAGCGGGCUUUUGAACUCUUACAGGGUCUGCAUCCUCGAUGAUUUCUUCAUGUUGUUAUUGAUCAACGCCUUGAGGACUAGAUGGAGGAGAAUGACGCUAUUGAGAAUGUUGUGGGCUCGCUUGCUGAUCUGGAGUCACUUCAUCUUCAGUAAGAUCGAAGUGCGUAGGCCCCUCACUCAUCCGCCGUGGUCCCCUGCUUGCAAUUCUCGAAGACUUUCUUGAAGAUGACAUCUUUCUCAGUUUUUGGAAGAUUCCUUGCUUGACUUUCCCAGGAAAGAUGACAACUUUUUGAGGAUUGAGCGAAGAAGACAAACGGGAAUGGAGGAUCGAUGCUUUCUAGGGUUUUUGAGAGAAAAGUGAAGAGGAAUCGACAUUUCAAGAUCGGUUAAAAGAGGGAUAAACGAACCAUCAUAAAGGAAAUAAAAAUAUGCCUUUUCAAAAUAACUGUCUUUUUCCGCAAAAAUAGCCAUUUCAAAAAUAACUUCCCUUUUGAAAAUGAAACGAUGCAAUAUUUUCGUCAAUUAAAUAUAGCAACAAUUUAAACACAGUCUGACAAUCGUACCUUUCCAAGUUGAGAUUCAAGAGAGAAAGACUUACAGUCUGACGGACGUACCAAGACUGUCUUUCAGAUAAAGUCUUGUAAGUCUGAGUCUGAAAGUCUUUAGACUUUGAUAUCCUCAUACCUCAGAAUGUUGAGUCUCGAGCGUAUAGACUCAAAUUGAUUUUUCUCUAAAGGCUUUGUGAAUAUAUCCGCCAGUUGAUUCUUUGAGUCAACAAAUUGAAUUGAAACAUCUCCAUUUUGAACAUGGUCUCUUAUAAAAUGAUGUCGAAUCUCUAUGUGCUUUGCUUUUGAGUGAAGAAUUGGAUUUUUGGUGAGGUUGAUAGCGCUGGUGUUGUCGCAAUUAAUCUCAGUACAUGAGUCUUCAAUUUCAAAGUCUCUUAGCUGUUGUUUUAUCCAUAGAAUUUGCGAACAACAGCUUCCCAGGGCUACAUACUCUGCUUCUGUUGUUGAAAGAGACACAGUGCUUUGUUUCCUUGAAAACCAAGACACUGUCCUGGUUCCAAGCAACUGGCAAGUUCCCGAAGUACUCUUUCUAUCAACUCUACAACCGGCCAGAUCUGCGUCUGAAUAUCCCAGAAGAUUAAAGUGUCCCUUCUUAGGAUACCAAAGACCGAUGCUUGAUGAUGAAGCAACAUAUUUAAUGAUGCGUUUAGCAGCAUUGAGAUGGGAUUCUCUAGGAUCUGAUUGAAACCUAGCACAGAUGCAAACACUCAACAAGAUGUCAGGUCUAGAAGCAGUAAGAUAAAGGAGUGAACCAAUGAUGCUUCUGUACAGCUUUUGAUCAACUUUCUUCCCUUCUUCAUCUUUGUCUAUCUUCAAAGAACUUAACAUCGGUAUGUCGGUCUUUUUGCAUUUUUCCAGUCCAAAUCUUUUGACAAGAUCAUUAACAUAUUUUUCUUGAUAAAUAAAGGUUCCUUCCUUCAAUUGUUUUACUUGAAGACCAAGAAAGAAUGUUAACUCUCCCAUCAUACUCAUUUCAAAUUCAUCCUGCAUAGACUUAGAAAAUUUCUUGCACAUAUUUUCAUUAGAAGAUCCAAAAAUAAUGUCGUCCACAUAUAUUUGAACAAGUAAGAAACUUUUGUUCUCCUUUUUGAUAAAUAAAGUUAUAUCCACUUUACCUUUGACAAAACCAUUUUGUAUUAAAAACUUACUUAAUCUGUCGUACCAAGCUCGAGGUGCUUGCUUUAAACCAUACAGAGCCUUCUUCAGUCUGAAGACUGAGUCUGGCUUCUUUGGGUCUUCAAACCCUGGUGGUUGUUCCACAUAAACUUCAUCUUGGAUGACUCCAUUUAGGAAGGUGCUUUUGACGUCCAUUUGGAAUAACCUGAAAUUCUUAUAACAAGCAAAUGCAAGUAAUAGUCGAAUAGCUUCUAACCUUGCUACUGGAGCGUAAGUCUCAUCAUAGUCUAUUCCUUCUUCUUGCGUAUAUCCCUUGGCCACGAGUCUUGCUUUGUUUCGUACGACUUUUCCUUUCUCAUUCAUCUUGUUUCUGAACACCCAUUUAGCUCCAAUAACAGUUUUACCUUUUGGUUUGGAUGUCAAUUCCCAGACAUCAUUUAUGCUGAACUGUCUGAGUUCUUCUUGCAUAGCUUCAAUCCAGCUUUCAUCAGACAAAGCUUCUUCUAUGCUUUUUGGUUCAAUUUCAGAAACAAGAGCUACAACACUAGACUCUUCUCGCCUUUUGGAUCUGGUGCGAAUUCCUUCAUUAGUUUCGCCGAUUAUAAGAUCUUUGGGAUGACUGGACUUAUGCUUCCAGUUACUUGUUGAUAUGUCUGUUUGAUGAUCUCUCUCUUUGAUUGAAUCUUCACGAACAUCCUGAUGCUGGUUUUCUAGAGUCUGAGAUGCUUCUUGAGUCGUAAGCUUUGGAAGGUCUGGAGCAGGUUCAGACUCUUCUUGAUGAGUCUGACUUGAUUCAUCUUGUGUUGAGUCUUGAAAUUUGACAUUCAUUGACUCCUCCACAGACUGGCUCUUCUUGUUAUAGACUCUGAAGGCUUUGCUUGAUGUAGAAUAUCCAAGGAAGAUACCUUCAUCUGAUCUUUCUUCAAACUUACCAACUCGAUCUUUUGCAUUUUUCAAUAUAAAACAUUUGCAACCAAAUACAUGAAAGUAUGAAACAAUAGGCUUCUUAUCUUUGAACAAUUCGUAAGGGGUUUUCUCUAGAAUAGGUCUUAAGAAGACUCUAUUGAUGAUAUAACAAGCUGUUGAAACAGCUUUAGCCCAAAAUCGUGAAGAAAUCUUGCUUUCUAUUAAAAGAGUUCUAGCCAUUUCCUGAAGAGAUCUGUUCUUUCUUUCCACAACUCCAUUUUGCUGAGGAGUAUAUGGAGAGGAGAACACAUGAUUAAAGCCAGAUUCACCACAAAAUUUUGUAAAAUCUUGAUUUUCAAAUUCAUCUCCAUGAUCUGUUCUUAUACAAGAGAUAACACAGCCUUUUUCAUUUUGAACCUUUUUAGCAAACUUUUCAAAAUACGAGAAGGUUUCGGACUUACUUGCAAGGAAAUAUACCCAAGUAAAACGGGAGUAAUCGUCCACAAUUACUAGGCAAUAUUUCUUACCUCCACUACUCUGUGUUCUGGUUGGUCCGAAGAGAUCCAUAUGCAGCAACUGUAGUACAUGAUUAGUAGAGACAUGAUUUAUUGGCUUGAAUGAAUUUCUUACCUGCUUUCCCAGAAUACAUGGAGUGCAUGGAUCAGUCUUUUGAUAAGGUAAUUUGGGUAGUCCUCGAACAAGCUGCUUUGAUGAGAUUUUGGCUAAUUGCUUCAUGUUGACAUGCCCAAGCUUUCUGUGCCAUAAGCUUGCUUCGUCUUGAAUUGAGAUAAAACAUUGCGAUUCAUUUGGUUUCACAUCCAGAAGAUAAAUGUUUCCAUGUCUACGACCCAUGAAAGACUGAGUAGAGUCUUUACUGAUUCCAGAACAUAUUCCUUCUUGAAAAAAGAUCUUGAAACCAGUAUCACACAAUUGACUGAUGCUGAGAAGAUUGUAAUUGAGUCCUUCCACUAAGGAAACAUUACUUAUUGUGAGAUUUCCAAUUUUAACAGUUCCAAAUCCCACAAUACUUCCUUUGUUGUUUCCUCCAAAUGAAACUUUUCCACCAUUUACUUGAGCAAGCUUUAUGAAACAUUUUGAGUCUCCUGUCAUGUGUCUUGAGCAUCCACUGUCAAGAUACCACUUUACCUUUCUCUUGACGGUGACCUGCAUUUAAAAAACAGUCUCAAGCUUUCUUUGGUACCCAAACUUUCUUGGGUCCUUUGGUGUUAGUAAACUAAGCAGUAUUAGCCCAUAUUUUCUUAACAGGUUUCCAAACCAUAGGACACUCUUUUUCAAAAUGAUCCGGACUGUUACAUUUUGAACAUUUUAGAGCAUUUCUACCUACAGAUUUAACAAAGACUUUCUUGAAGUGAUUUUUGUAAACCUCACUCGAGAGUCUUUUCUUAAUUCUUUCUUUUACUUUAGGGAAAUCAAUCAGGGGAAUUGUUUCUUCCAUCAUACCUAGACCAGACUUAUUGAAGUAAGGUCUUUGUGCUGAAAGAAUUUUCUCAAGUUUUUUAGACCCUAUUGAAAAUUUCUUUGAUAUAUUUGAUAAGUCUGUUUUUAAAAAGACAUUUUCUUUUGAAAGAUUAUCUCCAUUUUCUUUAAGAUUGGAAAUAGUCAAGUCUAGACUUUUAACUCUUUCUACUAAAACAUUUUCCUUUUGUUUUAGAGCUGAGUUUUCCUUUUUUAGUUCGGAAAUUCUUUUGAGAGAAGUCUUAAGACUAAAACAUAAUUCAUCAAUAUAUUUAGAAACUUUGACAGGAAUUUUAAUAUCACUUGCCUCAAAUUCACUGUCUGAGUCUGAUCCAGAGUCUGAGUCUGAUUGUGCCAUUAGACAUAGAUUGGCAUAUUCAUUAUCACUUUCUUCACACUCUGUGUCACUCCAUGUUUCGGCUUUGAGAGCUUUUCGAAAUCUUUUAGCUUUUCCUUUCUUCUUCUUCAGAAGAGGACAGUUGGGUCUGAUGUGUCCCUUUUUCUUACAUUCAAAGCAGACUAUGUCUUUAUCCCUGUCAAGAAUCAUCCCACAUUGGGACAAAUUUGAAAUGAAUGAUAGGAAUCUUCUUGCUCCCACUUUCAUCAAUCUUCGAAUAUAGCUUUUGCAGUGUAACUCGUACGGAAAUUUAAAGUGCCUUAAGAUGACAAAGAGCAGUUAUUUUUUUAUCCUACACACUUUCAUCCAUUGCAUAGCCCACUUGAGCCUGCAAUUUCAUUUAUUUAAACUUAGUUGGUGAUCAUCCUCCACACUAGGGCAAAGCAAAAGGCAAAUGAAGACUGUGGCGACCUUCUCGAAUUUUUUGAAGGUGAAUUAUUCGAAAAGGCUAAUGGAUUACUAAGUCCGAAGACUUGGCACGGACCCUCCCAAGUCCUACCAAUCGCAACUUGAUAGAAAUUAACUUAUUUAAACAUGCAAUUAUAUUUAAUUUGGAGCUGCCACUAACCAAUUAGAGUUGGUUAGAAACCCAAGUAAAGUCCGGUGACAUGGUUACGCUAGAUUAGUCUAACGCCCUUUCGGUACUUUUUUAUUUUAAUUUUAAAAAUAUUUUGCAGGCAAUGUUGAUUAAUUUAAACUUAAGCUACUAACAUACAAAUGGUGGUCAUGCGAGUGCACAAUCAAUAAAAUAACAUUCAAUAAAAAAUGCUAAUAAAAUUGCAUGCCCUAAACAUGAUUUCUAAAUGACAAGACACCUAUUUUUUCUUUUUCUUUUAAAAAUGUUAAUUAUAUGCAAUCUUAAUUUAACUUAAUAUGCAUGAAUUUAUUUUAAUGACAUGCUGGUAUGACUUAAACUUAUCACUAUAUAUAUGCAAUCUAAUUUAUAUAAUCCUAAAUAUGCAUGUGCUACGUGAUAUGGGAUGAAUGACGUGGUAUUUCUACUUGCAUGCUCUUUUAUGAUUUUUUUUAUGAUGAUUCAUUUUUUAAUGCAUAUAUGCAACCUAUGCUAAAUAAUGAUGAUAUGAGAUUAAUUAUGAAUUAACCUAUUAACUAACCAAGGAAAUGAUCUUUUCUUAUUUUAUUUUUUAAUGACAUAAUGUUUUUUUAUUGAAAAGAAAGUAACUUAAUGGUGCAAUGAUCAUCUUUUAGCAUUUUCCUUUUUAUUUAAAAAAACAAUUAAACUAUUACUCAUAUGGCAUGCAUAACAUUUUUUUUGUUCCACUUUUUUUGUUUACUAAAUGAAAAUUGGCUUAACCUAAAAAUAUCUAGGUGUGCUACUUUAAUGCGAAAUGUAUAUGGACCUAAGUACCUAAGUUCUAGAUAUGACAAUAUUUUACUAAUAAACAAAUUCUAAUUAAAUAAACUUAACAUGCAAACUUAAUUUUGGUUUUCAUUUUAUUUAAUGAGAAUCAUGCAAUGCAUGCUACUAAUUUUAACAUGAAAUGAUAUGACGUGGCAAUAUGAUCUAACAUAUAUAACAUGAAUAAGCAUGGAAUCUAUCCUAAAGCAUGAAAUGAAUUUAUUCUAAUUUUUUUUUUUGUAUUUUCCAUGAAAUUCAAAAUUAAAGAAAAGCAACAAUUAAUAUGCAAUCUAAAUUAAUUAAAUGAUCUAAUUCUAAUGACGAGCAAUUUCUAACUAAAUGAACUUAGCAAUAAUUACUAAAUGAUGAAAAUUUCAUAAACAUAAUCCUACACGUCUGAUUUAUUAAACCUACAUGCUUUGAUGCAAGAUUUUGAUUUUUGAUUUUUUGAUUUUUUUUUAGUGUUUUAGUGUUUUUCCAAGACAAGUAAUUAUCGACUAAACAUUAAAUCUAAACAAUCAAGAUAUUCAAUAAAUAAAUGAUUAAAAUAACCGAAAAAAUAACCCAUUGUCUCACAGGUCAAAUUAACGAUUAUUCUAAACCUAAUUAUCACGACAAAGAGAUCAAAAUAAUUAAAAAUAUGAUCCGAAGUCUUACGGAUCAAAUUAAUAAUUAUAAUGAUUUAACAAUUAAAAUUUUACCAAAAAGCCCAAAAAUUAAUAUAAUUAAAAAAAAUGAUCCGAUGUCUCUCGGAUCAAAUUAAUCAUUACCAAACUCUUGGACAAAGCCUUAAGGAUAAUGUCUAAACAAUACAAAUAAUUACAUUAAUAUACCAUGUUUUAACUUAAAUAAUAAUAACAAAACUUAAAAUAUAAACAAAUAAAUGAAUAAAAAAUAAAUAAACCACCUAAGGCUCAAAAGAGGACAGUGGCGUCGACAGGGAAGCGAAUCGCAAGCGGAGGCGGUGCGGUGGCACGGCGAGGUCAGGAGUGGCUGGCUUUGGAGCUCCGGCGAGGGCUGGGCAGCAACAGGUCACGGUAGCGUCUGGCUUCGACCGGCGGUGCUACAAAAUCAACAGACGCGGCAUCGGAUUUGGGUGCUUGUGGCAUCGGUGUUGUUGGGUGGAGGUGCAGGCACAGCUUUGCGGAUGGCAACCGGCAGGCGCUCGGGCAGAGGAAGACUCAAGCGUCGGGCGGUGUAGAGAUGGUGGCGCAGCGAGGUCAGGAGCGGUAGGCUUUGGAGCUUCGGCGUCGCGCUAGGCAACAGCAGGUCGCGAUGGCCGGCGCGGGUUCUCGGGCUGCUACAGCGUCGCGGGGGAUCGUCGGGUGGUGUGUGCGAGUUGCUGCGGGUUGCAGGUUGCUGCACGGCGAGGCUUGCGGGUGCUAGUGCGCAGAGGCACAGCGAUGACCGGCUAAAUCGUGAACCGGCGAGUUGUAGGCAAAGCGGAGGGAGCUGCUGCAGGCGUCAGUGGCAAGGCUGGAAGUCGAGGGGCUGACCGAAGCGUGAGGACUAGUGACUCGCGGGUUGCUGGCGCGGUGGCCGGCGCGGGUUCUCAGGUUAAUGCAGCUUCGCCGGACGGAUAGAGGGCCGAAUGGCAACGGACAGGGCGAAUCAAUUUGGUUUGCAGCAUCAGGUCACCGGUCGGAGGUUGCAGUGGUCAGAUCUAGCUGUAGGAGCGGAGCUCAAGUGUUGGGCUCAUGGUGGCGAGGUGACCAGCUCGAGCUUGGUCGCGGGUUUGUGCGGUUACAUAUAUGUUCGGGUCUAGCUCCAGAUGGAGGGGACCGCUAGGCGUCGUACCAAAGGCGGCGCGGCAGUGGCUUCAAGUGACGGUAGCAGUGCGGAGCCAACAGCGAGCGAACGGGGCGCGGGUAGACGGAAGUAGGGGUGACAAGACCCGAACUGAAAACCGAACCGAACCGCGAACCGAACCGAACCGAACUGAAAAUUUUGAUUUUUUCGGUUUGGUUCGGUCUUCGGUUUGGAUUUCAUCAAAAAUCGAAAAAAAUUUAUCGGUUUGGAUUUCAUCAAAAACCGAAAAAAAAUUAUCGGUUUGGAUUUCAUCAAAAACUGAAAAAAAAAAUUUAUCGGUUCGGCUUUUAUCGGUUCGGUUAACCGAAAACCGAACCACAAAGGCACAAACCGAUAAGAUGAAAUCUAAUUCGAUUCUCUCCCGACUCCCGUCUCUCAGUCCUCUCGUGUCUCUUGGUUUUUAUCGGUUUCGGUCUGAGUUCUCUCAACGGCGACGGCGACUGCAACGACGAUGGCGAUAGGGACGGCGACUGCGACGGCGACGGUGAUGGCGACCGAUUGAGGGACAAAGCCCCUUUUUUCUGCAAGUCUCUCCUUCGUCCCUCUUCCUUCUGUGACGAUGACGGCGACAAAGCAUGUCCUGCGCGCGCUCUUCUCUGGACUGAGGGGCCACCGUCUUCACUUUGCCGGCUAUACACCUCCAGUUCGCAACUCAUCCUCUUGUCCGACGCUUCCAUCUCUUCGAUUCACCUCACCGACUUGGCAAUCUCGGCGUUCUUGGAGCAGAUCAGGCCCUCCAGCAUCAGGACGAGGAACGCUGUCUCUGGGACAACCUCAUGCUCGAGGAGCUCGGUCUUGACGUACAACGGCGGCUUCGGCAAUUUCUGGAAGCCCAUCGCCAUCUUCACUUUGCCAGCUAUCAUCGGAGGGAGAUUCUGGAGCUUAGGUUUUCGGACGACGGUUAUAAUUACUUGGGGUAUUUAAGGGAGAUUAGGAAUGCAGGCAGGGGUUCCGCUUUCUAUCAUAAUCCUAAGGCUAGGCUUGAUCUGGUCCCGGAAGAUGUCAAGGUGGGUCUCUUGAAUUCGUGGUUUUCUCUCUUAAUGUCUGCAAAUCUUAGUGUUCUGCUUUCUAUCAGAAUCUGAGGUUGGGAUUACAGGGUAUGGAAGAAAGGGGUGAGUUUGCGUUUGAGGUUAGUGUAAAUGUGCAGCAUUUGAGAUGUGAGUGUUGCUGCUGCAUUAGACUCAGGUUAAUCUGAGGUUGGGAUUACAGAGUGUGAAGAAAGAAGUGAAUUUUUGUUUGAGGUUAGUGUAAAGGUGCAGCAUUUGAAGUGUGAGUGUUCUGCUGGAUUAGAUUCAGUUUAAUCUGAGGCCACUUCUAAUCCUCUCUCCACCCUCUCCCUCUAUCUGUCUCUCUCUCAUGGGUAGUUCGAAACAGAAUUAUAAGCUAAUAGCCACAGAGCAUGAUUUAAUUGAUUCUAAAUGGAGCACUAGUAGCUAAUGGCCUCUCAACUAGUCAACUGUAUUGCAAGUUAGCCAGAGGUCCCUACUUAUUCUGUAAUUUAGAGAUCAUGGGUGUUUUUAUAUCCUUUUGAGAUCCUUUUACGUGUUCAAUCUAUUAGGUGCUCUGUGGUGUUUGAGCAAUGCAUUGCUGGGUGAGAGGCAAUGUCCAUCAAGAUGUUUCGAUGUCCAAAUUGGGUUAAAACCGUAAUGAUUCGAUUGAACUUGAGAAUCUAGUCUGGGGUUUGAGCAAUUUUGAUUUUAUUCUGUUCCUAUGGUGAUGUACCCCUUUCUUCACCUUUGAGGUGGAACUACUUAUUUCCCUCUCUUCUUAGAUAUGUUGAGCUUAAAACAGUCUUGCAUGUUCAUAGAGAGUGACUUUCUUUCUUUUCAAGCAAUGAUGCAAAUAGAAAACACAGAAGCGAAAGUAUAUAUUGUGACAUUAGAUUCCUAAGUUGAGAUCACUAAUUUUAUUUCAAUUGUUUUGGUCAGGGUAUACAAAAGAAAGGAGUAGCAUUGUGGUUAUUGGGCUUAGCGUGCACACAACUCCUGUGGAGAUGCGUGAGAAACUUGCCAUUCCUGAGGCAGAAUGGCCUUGAGCCAUUGGAGAACUCUGUAGUUUGAAUCAUAUAGAAGAAGCAGUUGUCCUUAGCACCUGCAACAUAAUGGAGAUAUAUGUUGUCGCUUUGUCUCAACAUCGUGGGGUUAAAGAAGUGACUGAAUGGAUGUCUAAUGUGAUUUACUUUUGCUCCUUGCCAUGACAAUAAUUUGGAUUCUUGCAAUAAUUAAUUGCCCUAUGAUAUUUGUUUUAUGGAUGAAAAGCACUAGUUUCCUUUGAGUUCUUGUUAAUCCGGGAUUCUUUUCUUUUUUUUCCUCUUCUUCUCUGGUGAACAGAAUCCCUAUUUCAGAGCUUUGUCAACACCGGUUUUUGUUGUACAAUGGGGAUGCUACACAUCAUCUUUUUGAAGUCUCAGCAGGUCUUGAUUCUCUUGUCCUUGGAGAAGGACAAUUUCCUAGACUAAAUGGGUAUACUUGCUAAGUGAAAUGUGAUGUGAAGCAUAAAGACUAUAGUAGAACAUUCAUAUGAGAAGAUAAGUUGUUAGCAUACUUUAUCACGAUUUCAUAUGCUUAUGGCUGUAUUUACGAAUCACUAGUGUAAAAAAAAACACUUAAAAUCGCUACACUGCAUGUAGGACCAAAUAUUCCUUCUGGGAACAAAUUAAGAUUGGAAAAGCAAAAAGCAGGGCAGUUUUUGAUCCAUACGAGUUGCUCUUGAAACCCAGAAAGUCAAAAGUGAAGCUUUCGCUUCCUUUUGAAACCCAACUAGAUUGGAAGCAAUGCAAAACUCGAGCCAUUUCCAGGCUCAACUGGGACAAGCCCACAAAAGAAACCACGUCUCGGGACGCCAUCCUCCUUCCAAAGAAUUCUCAUGCAACAUUCCAAGCUCCUGUCCUCGCCGUCGCUUCUUAUCCUCCUUGGUUUCUUCUUGCUUGACUUCUCUUCGAAGUGAAGUCAUCUCGCUUCUCAUGAUGUGAUAAUUUCAGGAGAGUGAAAGGGCUAUAACAAGGGAAGAAGGAAGAGAUCUAGCUCAAAGAUAUAGAUGUUCGUUUCUUGAAUAUAGCGCAAAAACUAGAGAGAACGUCAAUGAAUGCUUCAAGGAGCUUAUACAGAAGGUAAGCUGUCCCGACAAAAAAAAAAAAAACCGAAAACCGCAAACCAAAAGUUGAAAACCGAAAAACCGAACCGAACCGAAAGUUCGUUAUCGGUUCUGGACUUAUUCGGUUCGGUUCGGUUUUCCAAAAAACUGAACCGAACCGAACCGUUUACACCCCUAGACGGAAGCAAACCUCCGGAGAAGAACAGUGUUCUUUUUCUUUUUCCUCUUGUUUUCUCACGUCAUCUCCUGUUCUACUUUUUCACUUUUCACCUUUUUGACUUCUUUUUUUCUCUCUCCCCCUCUCUCACGUCACUCACCCCCUACUCCCUGUGUACUUUCUGCAGGAGACUUUCUUCUCUUCUCUUUCUGCAAGAAAUCAAACUCUUAAUAUAGUGAGUCAUAUCUCCAACAAGGCGAUACUAAAAGACUCAAAUGCUAUUUCAAUCAAUGAAGUUGUGAUAUGAAAAUCUUCAACAGUGGACAAGGAAAGUAGUGGAAAUGUCAAGAUGAUCACCAACUUUGACUCCCCUAAACACUUUUUGAGCUUAAUGAUCCUUUCAUUUCUCAACCCAUGAGCCAAGCCUAUGUUACGUCCCUUGCAAAGUCUCUUCAGAUUAUGGCACUUGAAAUAACCUAGGGGUUCACAUGUUUUAAGCAUAGCUCGAAGAAGUGCGAGUAAAAUUAUUUCUUUCUCAUUAUGCAAGGUUCUUGACUUGUAAACCUGGAAAUGAUUGCGAAGCUGUUCUUUCAAUAGCCUUGACUCAAAGAGUCCCUUUGUUAAGCCGUUGACCAAGCUCACAAUAUGGUCCUUGUUAAAGAUCUCUCGGAUUGGUAAAGUAGUACCGCUUGCGAGAAUACUCAGACCCCUAUCGAUAUGGUGAGAUGGAGUGAUUCUCUUUUAAAUGAGAGUGAGAGAAAGUCCUUUCAAAUCGAAAGUUUCUCAUUUGACAUUUUCAAGAUGUCUUCAUUACAAGAGUAGAUUGUCUUGGUUAUAACUCUCCACAUGAGAUUCUGGUAAUAAUAGAAACAAGUGAUGAAUGCAUCUACUUGUUAUUACUGACCAUGUUUGAUAGGCAAAUUUCUCAUGAAAGUCAAGCAGCAAUUGGCCCUGAAGCAUUGGGAUUCGUCCAAACUAUUUGGUAACCCAAUCAAUCAAGCCUCCAAGAAAGGAGCCCCAGGUAAGUACCAAAUCUUUCAAAGUACUCAAGGUAAGACUCGGGUAACUCGUCUUCCAAUUUGGAUCUACAUGCAUAAAGAAAAAAGAAUUUGAGCAUCUUCUCCAAUCUACAGAAAUUGAGAGUCUAUGAAUGUCACCAAAAUCUUUCAACCCGAUCUUGACAUCUCAGUCUGAAUUUGGAUGUCUUAAUUCUUUUCAGUGAACAUUUCACUUUGAAUGUGAAUGUUUUUCGAUUUUUCUUGUUAUACCUUAGUUUGGAUCUAGGUAUUUCAAGUUCUAAAAUCUUGACAUCUUAGUUUGGACCUGGAUGUCCUAUUCGUUGAACAUUUCAUUCUGGAUGUUAAUGUUUUUCGAUUUUUCUUGUUAUACCUUAGUUUGGAUUUAGGUAUUUCAAGUUCUAAAAUCUUGACAUCUUAGUUUGGACCUGGAUGUCCUAUUCGUUGAACAUUUCACUCUGAAUGUGAAUUUUUUUCGAUCUUUCUUGUUAUACCUCAGUUUUGAUAUAGUAUUUCAAGUCCCAAAAUCUUGACAUCUCAGUCUGGAUCUGGAUGUCUAAACUAUUUUCAUCGAAACAUUUCACUCUUGAUGUGAAUGUUUUCCAAUCUUUUUCGUUAUGCCUUAGUUUGGAUCUAGGUAUUUUGAAUUCUAAAAUUUCGACAUCUCAGUUUGGACCUGGAUGUCCUAUUUGUUGAACAUUUCACUCUGGAUAUGAAUGUUUUUCGAUCUUUUUUGAUAUACCUAAAUUUGGAUCUAGGUAUCUCAAGUCAUAAAAUCUUGACAUCUCAGUCUGGAUCUAGAUGUCUUAAUUCUUUUUGUUGAAUAUUUCACUUUGGAUGUGAAUGUUUUUUAAUCUUGCUCGUUAUAUCUUAGUCUGGACCUAGAUAUUUUCAGUUCCAAAAUCUUGACAUCUCACUCAGGCGACUGUAGAAAGACACGAGUCCUAGAAAGUGUUUCCCUGUUUAGGCAACCGUAGAAUGAUAUGGGUCCUAGACACAACCAAACAUUGUCAUACUGGGCGACCGUAGAAUGGUACAAGUCCUGGGAAAGCAGUCUCUUUGCGAAGCCAUGUUACUAUUCUUGGCGACCGUAGAAUGGUAUGAGUCCUAGACAUGUAACGCCAAUCUAUCUUGAGUUACUCUACCCUCCUCGAAAGUAAGUAAUUCCAGGUAAAGUUCCUUUAUCAUUUGCAUUAGUAUUUUCAUAAAUCACAUAAAUUGCAUUUCAAAAUAGAAUUCAUUUUCCCCCAAAAAAAAAAGAAAACAAAAAGGAAAAAAAAAGAAGGGAAUUCAUUUUCCAACAAAAAGUCAUUUAGUGCAUGUGCAUGAUCAAAAUUUAGGUCCCAACUUGUCUUUAAAGGCAACCUCUACGAGCUCACCUUCAAAGAGGGGCAGAUGUUGACAUCUAAUUUUAGCAAAUCCAGGAAAAUAAGGAAAAUAAAAAUUUCAUUUGAAUAAAUAAAAGGAAAAAAAUGAAAAAAAUGGGAGAAAUUGAUUUGAUUGAUUAUGCAUGGAAACUUGGAAUUCCAAUGAAUAUUCGGAUUUUGUCAAAUGUAGAAGCAAUUUGAAAAUCAAGUGAAUAAAUGGCAAGAAUUUUUACCAAAUAGAAGAAAUCAGAGCAAAAUCGAAUUGAUUGCGAAACCACACUCUGAUUUACGGUCUUAAUUUAAUGCAACAGAAGAUGGAAACUCGAAAGUUGCUAUAAAAAUGGCCAUCUAGAGAUCAUUAUAAAAAUGAGCCACAAUUUUCGUGACCAAGGGGGACGAAUUCGAAAAAAUCGGAGAGAAAUUCUUGCUCGGUCGAAUUUAAACACAAAAAGGAGAGCUUGUUUUCUUUCUCCUUUCUUUCGUUUGGGAAGAUGGAAAAGUCAAAAUGAGAGAGUGAAAGAGACGUGAGUGCAGAGGGUGGACAUGCGAAUAGGUAAGAGAGAGAGAAAAUAAAAAAGAGAAAAGUAAAAAACGCCACUGUUCAUCUUCUCCGUGGCCUUCCUUUGCCGUGUGACUGACCCCUGCACCGCUGGUCUCCGAGCUGCACCCCCGGCCUCCACCGCGCCUUGCCAGACUUGCCCUCGACAUGCUGCAACAUCGCCACCGUGCCCGACGCUGUUGUCGCGCCCACGCCUCCGCCUGAAGCCCACUCCGAACGCGCCUCUGCCAAUGCCAGCGCCACGCCACCUCUACCCAUCCGCCGCUGCUGCUGCGUCACUACUCCACGCACCAGCACCCGCAAGCACCGCCGCGUAGCAACCUGCGACCUGUAGCGCCCGCGAGCCCCCUCGCUUCUCAACCCGACGCCGAUGCUUGCACCUCCACCACGCAGCACAGCCGCCGACACCCGCAGUUGCUCCCUUGCCACUCCAUCCGUGCCUCAACCCUCGUUGACACUUGCGCUCCUCGCCACUCCGCUCGCCGUUCACUACUAAUUAACCUGCAGUGCCGGAUGCCAGAAGACUCGUCGCCGGCCACUACCUGACGACCUGCGACCCACGCCAGCAUCUCCGCCUUCGUCGCCUCGCUGCAGCCNNNNNNNNNNNNNNNNNNNNNNNNNNNNNNNNNNNNNNNNNNNNNNNNNNNNNNNNNNNNNNNNNNNNNNNNNNNNNNNNNNNNNNNNNNNNNNNNNNNNUUUGUGUGAUGCAAUUUAUUUAUUUGAAUGUUUAAUAGUGGAUGAGCAUCCGUGUGGUCACCAUAUUUGCAUGAUAGCAAUUUGGUUAAAAUAAAUCCAAGCUGCCUGCAAAAACAUUUUUUAAAAUAAAAAUAAUGGUACCGAAAGAGCAUUAGAGAAAUCUAGUCUAACCAAGUUCUCAUACCCAUAGUCUCUGGUUUGUAGGAGUAAAAUAAUUCUUCAAUUAUUUUAUUUAGGUGUCUAAUCGACUUACCAUAAAUUGAUUAGUGGCGACUCCUAGAUAAAAUCCAUUUGUAUGUUAAAUAUUUGAAUCUUAAGUUGCGAAUUAGUAAGGGCUUGGGAAAGCUCGAGCUAAGUUUAAACACUUAGUAAUCUAUUAACCUAGUUUUAAGUGGUGCACUCAAAAUUUAGGUCACGACACUUGUGUUCACAAUCACGUUUGACAAUUCCCUAUUCAUAGGUAUGCAAAGUGUUGGAUGAUUUUGUUAUUCUUUCAUCUCAAAAGUUAGCUUAAAGAAUGAGACUUUUUCUCAUAUUUAUAAAUCGACUACCAACUUCUACAAUCGAAAUUCAAAUAAUCUCAUUCUCACAUAUCGGGCCUUGACUGGAAGCCGCAAUAAUCCGUAACUCAACCUGGGUUCUAAUAAUGAUAUUAGGUGAUUUUGAGCCUUACUCGUCCCAAAAGUUAACUUAAGGAGUGGAGUUUUUCCUCACAUUUAUAAACCAACUACAAGCCUUUUGCACAAUCAAUAUGGAAGAACCCCCAAUUAAAGGGUGUAAAAAUUAGAUUUUUAGAAGUUCAAUUACUAGUGAAGAAAUUUCAUUGCCCAAGUACCAUAAAAACUAAGCAAAGAGUUAGCGAUGUGUAUAGCGAUGUGUAUGGGACUUGCCUAUUUUAUGCGUUGAGAUGAAUUUGAUUCAAACCCUUAAAAUGAUGCAUGGAUCCGUCUUAUGGUGAAUAAUCAGCAUUGGUUCGCUAUUGAUUGAAGCUACUGAACUUUCAACUUGAACCGAAAUAAUAAGGAAUUUUUUUCAAAUCCACAAUUAUUGGAAAAUGAACCUACGUGAACACUUUUUGGAUUGGCAUAAUAUGUGACAUUUCCACGCAUAAAAAAUCGGUUGAGUUCAAGCAUAAAGCGAAGUUAACAUUUAUCUAAAAGAAGGAUUCGCACAAUGCAAAAUUGGACUAAACGUUGGAUUAAAGAGUGAUAUGGGUAGUAGAAAGCACAAGAGUCCAGAAUAGCACCUCACUUUCUUAUUCAAUGUGCUGUCUCAUAUGCCCCGUCCGACUAAUUCAAUCAGUAGUUGGAAAGCCCAAUUGAGGCCCUAUCAAAAUCAUGGUCGACCUAAGAAAUUUACCCAAAAAAAAAACGAAAUACCGAGUGACGUGCUCGCUGACGACGACAAUAAUCUCAAAACCCUAUAAAUUGAGACGCUCCCUUCACUCCAGUCCCACACCAUCGGCUCUCUCUCACACAUCCUCUUCUCUGACAGUGACACAAUGUCUUCCAGGUACUUGCUAGUUUUGCUCCUGGGAGCGGUGCUUUUCGCCGCUGCCGUCCUCUCCGACGGCCACCACCCUUUAAAAAGAGAGCAUAAACCACACCACAAGCACCACCCUGGUGGUCGCCGUCUCAUGGAGACCGUUGAAGGCAAGGACCCGCACAAGCCAUUCCCUAAACACAAGCCCCCACACCACGACCACCCUCUCGAGCACAUUCUUGUCGAGGAGUUGAAAGGAGGACUCCCACAAAAGCCAUUUCCCGGUAAGAAACCGCCCCACCACCCCCAGCCACUUGCUUGCCGAGGAGAGGAAGCCAAUGAAAAAAAGAAGCCAUUCCCCGAGCACAAACCCCCAAAGAAAGGCGACAAACCACCACCGAAGCACAAGCCGCCCCACGAGGGACACAUUCUCGUAGAGGAGGUGGAAGAGGACUCGAAGAAGCCAUUCCUUGAGCACAAGCCCCCCAAGAAAGGUGAGGAGCCCAAGAAGGAAAACGGAGAGAAGCCGCCACCAAAGCACAAGCCACCACACGAGGGACACAUUCUCGUAGAG
This 83333-nucleotide long non-coding RNA is filed under the name Eucalyptus grandis. RNAcentral's name for it is "long non-coding RNA (EGRA_LNC005013)". Lineage: Eukaryota; Viridiplantae; Streptophyta; Magnoliopsida; Myrtales; Myrtaceae. The record is from RNAcentral.